CACACAGAUAAUAAUAAUAAUCAUGUUUCCAUAAAAUUGCUAAGUCCAGAGAUAAUACAUAAACAUAGUAGACUGUUCAUGACACAUAUCACGGUGGACAGUGUUUGUGUCCUUAUUACAAGCAACGAGAGAUGCUCGUCACCAACACGCGCGCGCACAGAUGCACGACAUACAUAUAGUAGAGACCAACAGAUGGUCGUCCCAUAUGGUGAACAAUUUAUUGGAGAUAAAUAUUAACGUAACUUGGCCAUAGCUUGAAGCAUAGCAACAUAUGCCUAUGAGUGGCAUUCAUGCUAUCGUUUUAGGCUUGUCCAGCUCCUUCCAUCUUAGCAAGCACUUCCAUUUCUACCAUCUUAGCAGCAACUGUCAAAUUGAGAUACGGAAAUCCCAUUAGCGCAUGAGUUAAUUUUGCAGUGGAAAUAGAGUACAAGAUGUCUUCAUGAUGUAAGUAAUAUGCCUGAAGUUGUGAGAUGGGAAGUGAAGUCAACAAAUUACAUUAACGGAAAUGCAUGGAAGGCCACACAUACGUAUUAGUCCAUGAUAUGCUACAAAGCUUGUAUGUACAUAUAGCAAAUUAAAUGCAUUAAUUGAAUAGAGUGUGUUUAGUGAAUUUACCAGAAUCGUCCAGAAAACAUGGGAAACAGCAAGUGUUCUUGCAGACUGCGUCGGAGGCACCCGCACGAAUACAAAGCUGACAACAUAGUUUUGCCUGGGCGGAUGCGCAGCAGCCGCACUCCGCCGCGGUGGGGUUAACAUUGAGGCUCAAGAUGACCAGGCACAUGAUCACCAUCAAAGUGGUAGUCCUCUUUCCCUCCAUUGCCUCCUCUUAGCUUGCUGCUACCUUCCUUGGUUACCUAGCUAAGUUUAUUGGUUUUGUGUUGAGAGGUGUGAUUCUUGAAUGGACGUUGCCGGCGGCAAUUUAUAGGCAGCUGAGCUAUGUGAUGAUAUGGACUAGGUGCAAAUGGGUGGUUAAUGGCAAGGAAAGGGGCGUCAGACAAAGCCCAAUGGCAACUGCUGACAUGCGAUUAAAUUCAGAUCCACAUCCGGCCAUUCAAUAAUACGGUUGGAGUUGUGGCACAGAUAUAUUAUUGCAUGAUCAUCAAGAUAAGAUCGUACAGUGACUGAGUGAGACAAUAAAUAGCCAAGUAAACUAUUUUAUCCUGCUGCAAGCUGCAUUCAUAAGUUUAUUUCACCUUUGAUCACAAUACUCUUCACACACGUACGUCUCAGGGAGAUCUCACUUCCGCUGGACUGCUCACUUCCGCUGUCGUCGGUACUGCCAAAGACAUAAGCUCACAUCUGCUAUUGCGGAGCAGGCCAAUUUGCUGCGGAACUUCGGCGACGACCUGAAGGACAUGAACUCGGUGCUGGAGUCCAUCUCAGCAGCGCUCUAGGACGCUGACACCGGUAGAAAAACGACCUUCCAUCGUCAACAAAAAUCCCGGUAGCUUUUUUACUCGGUACUAAAGAGGUUUUAAUCUCGUGCAAACACCUUUAGUCCAGAUUGCUAUUACCACGCAACCCGGACUAAAGCGUCCCCCGCGAGUUAGUAUAUAAGGAUUGCAUCCUUUACUCAGUCAGAUAUAAUAUGUAGGUGAGAUGGUAAGGAAGCUAUGCGUGAGGCUUCAGGUUGUGGGUUCGAAUCCAAGUGGGUGCAGCUGUGGCUUAAGCGGCUGAGGCACGCCGCCAUAGACAUCUCAGAUUUGCUCGAAGACUACCAAGACACUAGUGAACCCUUAACAGUAAAGGUGAGUACUUAUGAAUGUCAGCAUCCAUGUUGUCCAUGCUUCCAAUGUAAUAACAAGAUGGACUACUCUUCCUAGCGGACUCUUCACAACCACUCGUAAAGCUAUGCGUUUCUCAAUGCAAUUUCGUAGAAGCCAAUCGAUCCAACCAAGUGACUAAAUCAUUCGUCCUUUCCAAUGAUGUGCAUCAGGUUUUCUAUAUGAAGGGCAUGUCUAGCAAACCUAAGAUUUCAGAAGAAAAAGAAAAAUCAUUGGAGCCAAAGAGCCACAUAGUUCUUCUAGGAAAAAAAUCAUGGGAGUCGAGAACAUAUCAAACCAAUCAGGGGAUUAUGGUCAGCUUAAUGGCAUGCCUCCAUUCGAUGUCGAAGUUCACCCAAGCAUCAUGUUAGCCAAACAUCAAAUGUUCGUGCGUUGUUACGGUAAAGAUCAAUUGUGUUUUUUAAACUCUUGGAAUUUUUUUAUCUAAGUUUUUAUUUACACUUAUUGGAUGUCUACACAUUUGCUAGAAAACUAAAAUAAUUUGGACUUAAUUAUUUCUUUCAACUGAAGUACUCACUAAAUUUCUACCUUUUUAUUUAAGCAAGAGAGUUGCUAAAAAAAAUGGAUACGUAACCAUGUUGUAUCAUACAAAGUAACCACGUUUCACAUAUAGUCCGGCUUAGCAAACACCAUUGUUUUCUGAACAUAGCGUACAUGAGUUAACAGACAUGGAUUUAUUUCUAUUGCAAGUAGCAUAGCGUACAACCUGCCUGCACCGAUGCAGCUCAAUAUGCGAUAAUUUUUAUCUUCCCAUGUAAUUUUUCUACUCUAGUACAUAUUGAACUCCACAUUAAUGUCAUGUUCUUUCGCGCCCCAGAAGGUUCCUAAAGUUUGGAAACUUAAUAGAUAGCCAGAAUUUUUUUUAAAGAUAUUUAUAUGGAUACUUGUAUGUUCUUUCCAAACUAACAAUAUUGUUUACCAAUAUCAGAAGGAAUAUGGUUAGGAGCCAUUGCCGCAUAUGGCAGGUGAUGGUAGAUGGCGUAUGGGGUUUCGUUAAUUUAAUGGUAUAAUAAGCUGAAAUACAUUUUCUAUUUGCAAAUGAAUCAUAGCUGAAAUUGGUGGGAUUGUUUUUUCGCCGGUUUAGCAUCCUGUGCACCAGUUCAACCGGAGGGAAGCUGUUUUUUUUCUUUGGUUUUCCACCGGUUCACCGAGACCGAUGACAAUUUUAUGGCAGAAUCAUUACUUGUUUUACUAUUAGGUGAAGAUUUUAGCGUUUAGGUAUCUCACAUUAAACGCAACUUCAACAAUCUAUUUCUAGUGUAUAAUGUAGGAGACCCCGUAAAGAGUCUACACACACAUAUAUGUUGACUAUGAAUGUAAGUUUGUUGGUUUUAUGUAUGUUCGUUUGGAGUUUAUAUAAAUUUUACAUUUUAUAGUUUUGUGUAUAUGACGAAGAUCCAUGACUUGCAUUAAUUUAGCCUUUCUUCCAACAACUCUUAUGCAUGAUGUUUCUAGGCGAGCGUACUGGUUGCAAUUUUGGUCCCCGAUAUAGUGUGAGGACUUAAGGGACACGUGCAGGUCGUAACCUUAGAUAUUUUUGCUGAGAAUGGAUGAAGAAGCAAUAAUAUACUUUGCUUCUGAUUUUCUCCAUGUCAUUUGCUUACUCUUAUCCCUUUUAUUUAUCAUUAUAAGAUGAAAAUAUUGUAAAAACUUGGCUACGUGCGGUCGCAGAAGCUAGAGACUAAAGCGUCCCCCACGAGUUACUAUAUAAAAGGAUUGCAUCCUCUACUCAGUCAUAUGUACUGUGUAGGUGAGAUGGUAAGGAAGCUAUGUGUGAGGCUUGAGGUUGUAGGUUCGAAUCCCACGCACCGCGUGCGCAUGCGCAUAUUUUGCGUGAAAAAUCGCAUGACUUGUGGUCGGCCAAGGAGAAGUGCGUGCGGCUGAGGCACGCCGCCAUAGACAUCUCGGAUUUGCUCCAAGACUACCAAGACACUAGCGAACCCUUAACGGCAAAGUUGAGUACUUACGCGUGUUAGCAUCUAUGUUGUCCAUGCUUCCAAUGCAAUAACAAGAAGGGCUACUCAUCCUAGCGGAUUCUUCACAACCACUCGUAAAGCUAUGCGUUUCUCAAUGCAAUUUCGUAGAUGUCAAUCGAUCCAACCAAGCGACUGAAUCAUUCGUCCUUGCUAAUGAUGUGCAUCAGGUUUUCUAUAUGAAGAACAUGUCUAGCAAAUCCAAGAUUUCAGAAGAAAAAUAAAAAUCAUGAGAACCAAAGCACCACGUAGUUCUUCCAGGUAAAAAAAACAAUCAUCCACUGGGAUGACACACAGUAGCGAUCCAAAACGUCCAUAUUAAGACUUUUUGAUAGCAGAAAAAACAUGAAAAUGUCUAAUAUUUGUAGUAUUAAAAGGAAAAAUAAUAUAUUCACUUGACCUUUUUUUCGUAGCAACGCACCGGUGCGUAGUCAGACUUAGGCCACGUUUGGAUACUCCCUACUAAAGUUUAGCACCUGUCACAUAGGAUGUUUGGAUACUAAUUAGGAGUAUUAAACAUAGGCUAAUUAUAAAACUAAUUGAACAGAUGGAGUCUAAUUUGCGAGACGAAUCUAUUAAGCCUAACUAGUCCAUGAUUUGACAAUGUGGUGCUACAGUAACCAUUUGCUAAUGGUGGAUUAAUUAGGCUUAAUAGAUUCGUCUCGCGAAUUAACAUAGGGUUCUGCAAUUAAUUUUAUAAUUAGCUCAUGUCUAGUCCUUCUAAUUAGCAUCCGAACAUCUGAUAUGAUACUGCUAAAGUUUAUCACCUAGUAUCCAAAUACCCCCUUAAUGCACGAUGCCUGUGCAUCCACUGGGCCUACCCUCGUGGAUCACGCGCUCGUGGAUCACGCGCACCAUGACAUGGCUCAUUAGCUAGUCGUGCUAAUCCUUACCACCAAAUUAAAAACUAGCAUGUGUUGUGUGUUUGUGACCCUAAACGACUACCACCUUCCCGAGUCCACCGGAGUUGCCAGUUCACCACUAAGCUGACUCUCCGAGCUUCAUGUCACUGUCACCGCUCCAAAGACCUAGAUCGGUUCGCUGUGCACCCCGCUUCGUCCUGAGCUAAAUCCCAUCACGAAAGGUGACCGGAUGCUCGUUUUCGAGCGAAUUCUAGCGAGAUUGCCACCACCUUUCCCCUUCCAGCCGAUCGCAGCUGUCUGAUCACAAACCGACAGCCCAGAUCGGAUUUGACCAGGUCAAUACCGGUCAAGCCGAGAUGCAUGCUGCUUUUGCAAGAAGGCCCCUAUUUUUCUCUCUUUUUGCACUUGAGGUCCUACGCAGUUCAAAAGUAAUUAGAUCUAGAUCCUUUUUCUUCUGUUUUAGCCCUGUUCUUUUAUAAAAUCCCACCCGCCAUCCUGUUUGGUAUUUUGACAUGUUAGACCUUCUAUUUAUAUGUUUAAUUAGGUUUUAGCCCUUGGUUUCUUUAAGUUUAGCUCUUGGAAGUUUAGUUUUCUCGCAGUUAAGCCCCUGAACCUUGUUUAGUUCAUAUCUUUAGCGUUUUAAAUCCGUUUUAAGAGAUUCUUACGCCCAUAAGUUCGUGUUGAUGCAUAGAUUAGUUGACUUAUACGGACCUUGCUGAUUCAGCUCCUUCAUUGUGCUUCAGAUCUCGCUAGUGAAGAAUAAUGGAUGGGCUUUGGUUGAGCUUGUAGAUCGACCUGCAGUUGCAGUGAAUGUGCUGAGGACUGGCGGUACCAAUAAUGGGAGGCCGCUGCUCUGCUUGCUACCAAGGCCUGCGACGCUUGGACGCCAUUCAGAGUGCAUAAUUUCCAAGGAUCUCAAGGGCUCCACACCACGUUCCAAGUGUUUUUUCUUUGCCGAGUGUUUUUAGCUCGGCACUUGGCAAAGAGCUUGUUUGCCGAGUGUCCGAAAAAAACACUUGGCAAAGAGAAAACACUCGGCAAAUUUGAUGUUUCCCGUAGUGAUGUACUAUUCAAACUUGAACUGGGAUGCAGGCUUCAGUACCAAAGAGAGCUCUGGGCGCGGGUGAGCAGUGAGCUGGCCGGGCAGGGAGCUCCAAAGCGACAGCAACAAAGAGAGAAAUGCUAAGAGUAAGAACGACACACGAGGUCACUUCACAUAGAUAAUAGCAGUACGAACCAUACAAUAUCCUCUCUCAGUUUCACUCCGCCUCACACACGGCUAGCACACCAUGCAUGCCGAUUUCAUAUUAUUAAUAUUAUUUUUUGGAUGGUUGUUGAAACUAUAUAUAUAGUUAGUCCAAUCUCACGUUUCCGAUUAUAAAAAUCAACGUAAAGAGAUCGGUAGGGAGAGCCGGCAUAAUGAAGCCGACGCGUGUAAUAAGCACCAGAGCCGGCAUUUAUACAAACUGGUACGAAUAGUAAAAAACUAGAAUUUAUAAAUAAAAAAAUGAUUUGCACAUCUAUGCAAUAAUUAGGGGUUAGUGGCAGGUCUAGAGAGAUAUCUCAUCAUUAUAUCCGGUUUAACGAGGAUAAAAAAGAGUGUAUUUUCCACUCAUCAUGUUGUCUUUUCGCAGCGGUACCACUUUUCGUGUGUUGUAUCGGUCCCCUAAUACGGAGUCUCCGAGGCCCGAGAAAAUAAGGAAAGUGAUAGUAGCCCAGAAAUCGGCCAAGUUUCUUUCCCCUUUGGCUUUCCUACUAGGAUUCAGAAUCCUCUUUCGCAUGACAAUCUUAAUUAUCUCCCAUACUCCAAAACUCACAAAAACAUCAAGAGUCCGCUGAGAAUAAAUUUAAGUAAAAAACAUGCACACACAGAUAAUAAUAAUAAUCAUGUUUCCAUAAAAUUGCUAAGUCCAGAGAUAAUACAUAAACAUAGUAGACUGUUCAUGACACAUAUCACGGUGGACAGUGUUUGUGUCCUUAUUACAAGCAACGAGAGAUGCUCGUCACCAACACGCGCGCGCACAGAUGCACGACAUACAUAUAGUAGAGACCAACAGAUGGUCGUCCCAUAUGGUGAACAAUUUAUUGGAGAUAAAUAUUAACGUAACUUGGCCAUAGCUUGAAGCAUAGCAACAUAUGCCUAUGAGUGGCAUUCAUGCUAUCGUUUUAGGCUUGUCCAGCUCCUUCCAUCUUAGCAAGCACUUCCAUUUCUACCAUCUUAGCAGCAACUGUCAAAUUGAGAUACGGAAAUCCCAUUAGCGCAUGAGUUAAUUUUGCAGUGGAAAUAGAGUACAAGAUGUCUUCAUGAUGUAAGUAAUAUGCCUGAAGUUGUGAGAUGGGAAGUGAAGUCAACAAAUUACAUUAACGGAAAUGCAUGGAAGGCCACACAUACGUAUUAGUCCAUGAUAUGCUACAAAGCUUGUAUGUACAUAUAGCAAAUUAAAUGCAUUAAUUGAAUAGAGUGUGUUUAGUGAAUUUACCAGAAUCGUCCAGAAAACAUGGGAAACAGCAAGUGUUCUUGCAGACUGCGUCGGAGGCACCCGCACGAAUACAAAGCUGACAACAUAGUUUUGCCUGGGCGGAUGCGCAGCAGCCGCACUCCGCCGCGGUGGGGUUAACAUUGAGGCUCAAGAUGACCAGGCACAUGAUCACCAUCAAAGUGGUAGUCCUCUUUCCCUCCAUUGCCUCCUCUUAGCUUGCUGCUACCUUCCUUGGUUACCUAGCUAAGUUUAUUGGUUUUGUGUUGAGAGGUGUGAUUCUUGAAUGGACGUUGCCGGCGGCAAUUUAUAGGCAGCUGAGCUAUGUGAUGAUAUGGACUAGGUGCAAAUGGGUGGUUAAUGGCAAGGAAAGGGGCGUCAGACAAAGCCCAAUGGCAACUGCUGACAUGCGAUUAAAUUCAGAUCCACAUCCGGCCAUUCAAUAAUACGGUUGGAGUUGUGGCACAGAUAUAUUAUUGCAUGAUCAUCAAGAUAAGAUCGUACAGUGACUGAGUGAGACAAUAAAUAGCCAAGUAAACUAUUUUAUCCUGCUGCAAGCUGCAUUCAUAAGUUUAUUUCACCUUUGAUCACAAUACUCUUCACACACGUACGUCUCAGGGAGAUCUCACUUCCGCUGGACUGCUCACUUCCGCUGUCGUCGGUACUGCCAAAGACAUAAGCUCACAUCUGCUAUUGCGGAGCAGGCCAAUUUGCUGCGGAACUUCGGCGACGACCUGAAGGACAUGAACUCGGUGCUGGAGUCCAUCUCAGCAGCGCUCUAGGACGCUGACACCGGUAGAAAAACGACCUUCCAUCGUCAACAAAAAUCCCGGUAGCUUUUUUACUCGGUACUAAAGAGGUUUUAAUCUCGUGCAAACACCUUUAGUCCGGAUUGCUGUUACCACGCAACCCGAACUAAAGCGUCCCCCACGAGUUACUAUAUAAGGAUUGCAUCCUUUACUCAGUCAGAUAUAAUGUGUAGGUGAGAUGGUAAGGAAGCUAUACGUGAGGCUUCAGGUUGUGGGUUCGAAUCCAAGGAGAAGUGGGUGCAGCUGUGGCUUAAGCGGCUGAGGCACGCCGCCAUAGACAUCUCAGAUUUGCUCGAAGACUACCAAGACACUAGUGAACCCUUAACAGUAAAGGUGAGUACUUAUGAAUGUCAGCAUCCAUGUUGUCCAUGCUUCCAAUGUAAUAACAAGAUGGACUACUCUUCCUAGCGGACUCUUCACAACCACUCGUAAAGCUAUACGUUUCUCAAUGCAAUUUCGUAGAAGCCAAUCGAUCCAACCAAGUGACUAAAUCAUUCAUCCUUUCCAAUGAUGUGCAUCAGGUUUUCUACAUGAAGGGCAUCUCUAGCAAACCCAAGAUUUCAGAAGAAAAAGAAAAAUCAUUGGAGCCAAAGAGCCACAUAGUUCUUCCAGGAAAAAAAAAUCAUGGGAGUCGAGAACAAAUCAAACCAAUCAGAGGAUUAUGGUCAGCUUAAUGGCAUGCCUCCAUUCGAUGUCGAAGUUCACCCAAGCAUCAUGUUAGCCAAACAUCAAAUGUUCGUGCGUUGUUACGGUAAAGAUCAAUUGUGUUUUUUAAACUCAUGGAAUUUUUUUUCUAAGUUUUUAUUACACUUAUUGGAUGUCUACACAUUUGCUAGAAAACCAAAAUAAUUUGGACUUAAUUAUUUCUUUCAACUGAAGUACUCACUAAAUUUCUACCUUUUUAUUUAAGCAAGAGAGUUGCUAAAAAAAAUGGAUACAUAACCAUGUUGUAUCGUACAAAGCAACCACAUUUCACAUAUAGUCCGGCUUACCAAACACCAUUUUUUACUGAACAUAGCGUACAUGAGUUAAGAGACAUGGAUUUAUUUCUAUUGCAAGUAGCAUAGCGUACAACCUGCCUGCACCGAUGCAGCUCAAUAUGCGAUAAUUUUUAUCUUCCCAUGUAAUUUUUCUACUCUAGUACAUAUUGAACUCCACAUUAAUGUCAUGUUCUUUGGCGCCCCAGACGGUUCCUAAAGUUUGGAAACAAAAUAGAUAGCCAGAAAUUUUUUUAAAAAAUAUUUAUAUGGAUAUUUGUAUGUUCUUUGCAAACUAACAAUAUUGUUUACCAAUAUCAAAAGGAAUAUGGCUAGGAGCCAUUGCCGCAUAUGGCAGGUGAUGGUAGAUGGCGUAUGGGAUUUCGUUAAUUUAAUGGUAUAAUAAGCUGAAAUACAUUUUCUAUUUGCAAAUGAAUCAUAGCUGAAAGUGGUGAGAUUGUUUUUUCGCCGGUUUAGCAUCCUGUGCACCGGUUCAACUGGAGGGAAGCGGUUCACCGAGACGGAUGACAAUUUUACGGCAGAAUCAUUACUUGUUUUAUUAUUAGGUGAAGAUUUUAGCUUUUAGGUAUCUCACAUUAACAAUCUGUUUCUAGUGUAUAAUGUAGGAGACCCGUAAAGAGUCUACACACACAUAUAUAUGUUGACUAUGAAUGUAAGUUUGUUGGUUUUAUGUAUGUUCAUUUGGAGUUUAUAUAAAUUUUACAUUUUAUAGUUUUGUGUAUAUGACGAAGAUCCAUGACUUGCAUUAAUUUAACCUUUCUUCCAACAACUCUUAUGCAUGCUGUUUCUAGGGGAGCGCACUGGUUGCAAUUUUGGUCCCCGAUAUAGCAUGAGGACUUAAGGGAGACGGGCACGUCGUAACCUUAGAUAUUUUUGCAAGAAGCAAAUUAUACUUUGCUUUUGAUUUUCUCCAUGCCAUUUGCUGACUCUUAUCCCUUUUAUUUAUCAUUAUAAGAUGAAAAUAUUGUAAAAACUUGGUUACGUGCGGUCGCAGAAGCUAGAGACUAUUUCUUUUUUUAAAAAUACGCAAGAGGGAGAAACUUGGUAACAGCUAGACAGUGAAGAUCGCAUUUCAUAAGAAAGAUGGUGCACGUUCUUGUUUGGCUGUUAACGAAAUGACUUCGUUUCACCACACCACCAGAGAGCCCCAUUGCACUUGCAGCAAAAGCGUGGAGCCGCUUUCAACCAGCGUGCAAUAAUGCAGUCCCGCGUGUCUUGGUCUUACAGGAUAUUUGGUUCUUUAGUCCGGACUAAAAUUCAUGUCGCAUAGAAUAUUCAGAUGUUAAAUAGGAGGACUAAACAUGAGCUAAUUAUAAAAAUAAUUACACAAAUGGAGGCUAAUUCCCAAGACAAAUCUAUUAAGUCUAAUUAAUCCAUCAUUAGCACAUGUUUACCGUAGCACCGUAUUGUCAAAUCAUGGACUAAUUAGGCUUAAUAAAUUCGUCUCGCAAGUUAGUCUCCAUCUAUACAAUUUGUUUUAUAAUUAGUCAAUGUUUAAUACUCUAUCUAAACAUUCAAUGUGACUGAAAUUUUAGGAGGUCCUAAAGAACCAAACACCCCUUAGUCUCCGCCUGAACUAUAGCAGGUGCUGGCAGCGGUAGCAGGGUCGUCCAUUAUAUCUAUGGAUGGAAAUGAUCUGAUUCGGAUGGAAUCGAAUUCGAAUAGCACUUUUUACCACAUACUAAUCUGAAUUGGAUGUUCUCGAAUGUGAAUGCAAAACGGAUAGUUCAAAUUUGAAUACUUUGCGGAUUUUUGCAUAAUAUUAAUCGAAGAGAAUUUGUUAAAUUUAGCCGAGACAUAAAUUUUUCUAAAUUCAAAUACUUUGCAGAUUUUCGAAUGCAAAUUUUUUCAUACGAUCUCGGUUGAAUACAAACUUUAUAUCAAAGUUGUAUAUUUAGAUUAUAUAUAAAACUUUGUAGUUGACCUCCUUUUCAUUUAAAAUUUUUUAAUAGCUCAAAACAUUAUUCUAAGCUUUCUAAUUUCAAAAUCUUGAAUUUUAAAUUUUUCAAACGACCUCGGAUGCAAACAAGCUCUAUAUCAAAGUGCUUAAUGAGAUAUAAAAUUUUGUAGUUGACAAGUUUUUUAGUUGAAAACAUUUAGUUAUCACAAACAUACAAGUUCUUCAUUUGAUGUCGAGGAUUGGAAGUGUUGAGUUUGAAGAAUAUAUUCUUUGAUUACAAACUUUUCCAUAUGAUCUUGGAUGAAUACGAACUUUAUUUCAAAGUUGCAAAUUUAGAUUAGACCAAAAACAGUAUAGUUUACAAUUUUUUCAUUCAAAAUUAUUUAGUAGCUCAAAAUGUUAUUCUAAACUCUCUAAUUUUGAAAUCUUGAAUUUUAAAAUUUUCAAAUGACCUCGGAUGCAAACAAGCUCUAUAUCGAAGUGGUAGUUCUUAAUGAGAUAUAAAAUUUUGUAGUUCCAUCUGAGAUCAUUUAACAGUCACAAAUAUACAAGUUUUUCAUAUGAUGCUAAGGAUCAGAAAGAUUAAGUUUGAAGGCUGUAUUUUUUUAAUACAAAUUUUUGCAUACGAUCUCGGAUGAAUACAAACUUUAUAUCAAAAUUGUAGAGCUCGAUGAGAAUUUAAACUUUGUAGUUGAUAUAUUUUUCAUUCGAGAAUGUUUAGUGGUCCAAACAUGUAUUAUAAGUUCAGAGAAGAAACACACAAUCGGCCACGUCAUCAAUUGACAACUUCCAAACUGAGCAUUCCUAUUGGUUCACACCUUUCCCUUUCAACUCGUCAAGCUUAUCUCCUCCCACUCCUCCAUCGUUCACUCCCCCUUCCCCUUCCUCUCUCCCUCCCUCCCUCCGCUCCAGCAGUGGCAGCCCGACCUGCCUCCUAGGACGGUGGUGUGCGGGGCUCGGGCAUCCCUGGCCUCUAGUGGCGUGGCAGGGCGGCCUCCAGCAGCGAUGGCGGAACUCGGCCUCCGGUGGCGCACAGGCAGCGCAGCCUACCUGGUCAAAGGCGGCGCAACAGGGCGACCUCCCCAGCCUCCGGCGGCGCGCAGGGCAUCCAUGACCUCCCCGGCCUCCCUUGCCAGAGGUGGUGCGCGGGGCUGCGCCGACCUCCCCAACCAGAGGUGGCAAGGCCCCAGCUUACGGCGGCGCGUGGCUCCCCAGCUAGGGUGUGGUGGGGCGGCGGCAAGUCAGGCGUGGCCGCGUGGGGGUGGGGGGAGGGGGUUGGGCUGGGCGGAUUCAGAUAGUAUCCAUUUAACCAUCCGAAAUGUGGAUAUCCGUUUAACAAUCCGUUUAGCAAAACCGAAUUUGGAUACUUCCACUUAAGUAUCCAACUAGGAUUCGAAUGCGGAUGGUCCUACCAUAUUGUUAUUUCAGCGGAUACGAAUAUGGGAUAAUUCGAAUAACGACUUACCCAUCCCUGAUUAUAUCCGUGUAAAUAAAUAAUUGCGGCAGCAGGUUCCCGUCGCCACGCCCCCGUCAAACCAAACAAUUGCUUGCGCGACACCGUGUUACUAGAUCUUGUACAGUACUCCCUCCGUUGCAGUACUCCCUAAUGAAAGUUGAGAAUCGAUCGACAACCACGGCUAGUUGCUAUGCACUCGAUCAGAUGGUCCAGGCGCCCGCUGGUAAUCAGGUCGUGGUUCACGCGCAUCAGGCCAGCUAUGACGUUGCCAGCAGUGCUCAGUACACAAAUCUAGCUAUCAGUCGGAUCCAAUUGGGCAGGCAUUUGCACUGUGGUUGUGUUUGAACCUGUAGAUGUCGUUGUCAUUAUCAGGCACCAUACAUCCUCUCUCAGAGGGUGUUUCACCCCCUAAACUUUAGCCCCUCUCACAUCGAAUGUUUUAGAUACUAAUUAGGAAUAUUAAACAUAGAAAAUUUACUAAACCCAUUACAUGGAUGGAGGGUAAACGGCGAGACAAAUCUAUUAAAUCUAAUUAGUCCAUGAUUUGACAAUGUGCUGCUAUAGUAACUAUUUGCUAAUGAUGGAUUAAUUAGACUUAAUAGAUUUUUCUUGCUGUUUAGCCUCCGUCUGUGCAAUUAGUUUUAUAAUUAAUUCAUAUUUAGUCCUCCUAAUUAGUCUCCGAAUAUUUGAUGUGACACGGACUAAACUUUAGAUAGCACACCAGGGACCGACACCAUGCAUGCUGAUUUCAUAUCAUAAUUAAGGAAAGUGAUAUCAUAAUUAAGGAAAGUGGUAGCAUCCAAGAAAUCGAUCAUGUUUCUUCCCCCUUUGGCUUUCCUACUAGGAUUUGGAUAGCGGGCCUUCCUACUAGGAUUUGGAAUCCGCUAUCGCAUGACUAUCUUAAUUAUGUCCCAUAGUCCAAAACUCACAAAACAUCAAAAAUCCAUCGAGAAUAAAUUAAGUAAAAAACAUGCGCACACAGAUAAUAAUAAUAAUAAUCAUGUUUCAAUAAAAUUGCUAAGAUUAGAGAUAGUACAUAAACAUAUUAGAUUGUUCGUGACACAUAUCAUGGUGGAUAGUGUCUGUGUCCUUAUUACAAGCAGCGAUAGAUGCUUGUCACCACACACACGCACGCACAGAUGCACGACAUACAUAUAGUUGAGACCAACGGAUGGACGUCCCAUAGGGUGAAUAAUUUAUUGGAGAUAAAUAUUAACAUAACUUGGCCAUAGCUUGAAGCAUAGCAACAUAUGCUUAUGAAUGGCAUUCAUGCGGGUAGCAAUGCUAUCAUAUGCUUUUAGGCUUGUCCUUAGCUUCUUCCAUCUUAUAGCAAACACUGCCAUUUCUUCCAUCUUAGCAGCAACUGUCAAAUUAAUUGAGAUAUGGAAAUCCCAUUAGCGCAUGAGUUAAUUUUGCAGUGGAAAUAGAGUAGAAGAUGUCUUCAUAAUGUAAGUAAUAUGACUCUGACAUAGGGAGUGAAGUCAACAAAUUACAUUAACGGAAAUGCAUGGAAGGCCACGCAUAUGUAUUAGUCCGAUAUGCUACAAAGCUUGUAUGUACAUAUAAUAAAUUAAAUGCAUUGAAUAGAGUGAUUUUAGUGAAUUUACCUAAAUCGGAUUAAAAAACAUGGGAAACAACAAGUGUUCUUGUAGGGCUUUGUUUAGUUCCCAAAUUGGGAGUAGCAAAGUUUGCAUUUUACCAUAAAUGCGCAACUAUAGCAUGUAGCAUUUUGUUUGUAUUUGUGAAUUAUUAUCCAAACAUUGACUAAUUAGGCUCAAAAGAUUCAUCUCGCAAAGUACAACAAAACUGUGCAAUUAGUUUUUGAUUUCGUCUACAUUUAGUACUCCGUGCAUGUACCGCAAGUUUGAUGUGAUGGGGAAUCUUGCUUUUCAAUAGUGACAAAGUUGGGAUUUCGGGGGGAAGGCCUGUGUCGGAGCCACAUGCAAGAAUGGCUGACAUUGAGGCUCAGACAAAGCCCAAUGGCAACUGCUGACAUGCGAUUAAAUUUAGAUAUCCACAUCCAGCCAUUCACAUUUAUGAGAUAUGGACACGGUGCAAAUGGGUGGGGUCCUGAUAUGGAGGUGCGAAUGGCUGUCUACUUGUAUAGUGUAGCUCCAAUGUACGUAUAUGUAUCUUAUGCAUGUAUACAGUUGCACAAACUCUGAACCAACUCUUCAUAACAGGUCUUUGUUACCAAGUAACUUUACUUUUGCACGUUUCAGCCGAGAGGUAGAAGAGAAUAUUUUUGCAUUUUCCAUGUGCGUCAGUGGUAGAGAACUAGGAAUUAGUUCCGGAUGGUAGGGCACAAAUCUUCCAAACAACUAUCCGAAAUUAAGCAAUCGAGAUAAAGGGUGCCAUCUAUUCUCUCCGAAAAACACAGGUACCAAAAAGAAGAAGAGAAGAGGGAGGGCCUCCCGUUAAGGCCCGCUCGGGGUCUCCAUCCCACCACGCGCCCUCCCAACCCAAAGCCCAUCGUUUUCCCUCCGUCCCUCCCCUCUCCAUUGCCGCCGCCGCUCCCCUCAUCCGAGCUCGAUACGGGUGGUCGGCGGCCCCUCCUCUCCGCUCCCGCCCCCGGCCUCCCUUUGACCGCCGGGCGCCGGCAUCACUGCCGCGGCCAACCCCAGGGCGCAGCGCGUGCCUCUAUUUCUCUCCCCCGUUCAAGGGCCCUUUGAUGGCGACGAGCACCCACCCACCAGGUAUGCCCUCCCCUUCUCUUCCUAACCCUAAUAUAUUCGGAUCUCACCCAGUCACAAUAUAUUACCUAAUAGCUUCGAUUUUGUUUGCAAAAAUCAUCACGUGCGCACCCAUGUCCGCUAGAUUCUUGCGCCUGAUCCUGUGCUGCUAUGGUUUGGGCGGGGUAGACUAGUUGAUUCGUGCACUUUUGGGUGCUUGUAGUGCUAGGUUUUGGAGGGGGAUAGCCCAGUUGAUUCCUCCGUUUUGGGUGCUCAUGGUGAUAGGAUUUGGAUGGGGAUAGCCCCAAUGAUUCGUGCGCCUUUGGGUGCUGGGGAUAGUUUUGGGUGCCUGGAUAGUCCAGUUUCAAUGUCAGUAUAUGCGUAUUUUGGGGAGAAUUUUGUUUUGGGUGGUUCUGGUGCUAGAGUUUCUGAUGCUUAGUAGCCCAGUUUCAAUCAAAUUCCCCCAUGGGUCGUGCACUACGGGAAACAAGAAAAUUGCCGAGUGUAUUUUUUUUGUCGAGUGUUUUUUUUCGAGCACUCAGCAAACAAGCUCUUCGCCGAGUGCCAAGUCAAAAACACUCGGCAAAAAAAAACACUCGGCAAAUCGGGGCUUUGCCGAGUGUCAAAUAAAAAACACUCGGCAAAGAAGGGGGUUUGCCGAGUGUUAAAAAAAACACUCGGCAAACAGGAGGGUUUGCCUAGUGUUUUUUUGACACUCGGCAAAAAAAUAAUUGUUUUUCCUCUUUUCACCUUGAAAUUUUUUCUACUCCCCACAUACAACACGUGGUACUCCAUGUUAAAAUUUGGUAUAUUUUUGGAUUUAUUUGCUAUAUUUAUUUAAUUAAUUGCAUUACAAGGAAAUUUUUGGUAUAAGUCAAAUUUGAACUGCAAGUGAUUCAAAUUGUGGAACAAAAUGAGUAGAAAAAUGAUAUUCAUGUUAUUUGGCUCAAUUUGAGACCUGACCCAUGAAAUGAAAAGAAAUUUCGAACAUCUUGUUCAGGAAACACGACAAUGAACAUGUGGCGGUAGUAUUUUUAAAUUGUAAAAAAAACAAGCAAAGUCUGAAAAUCAUGAGAUUUGUAGUUAUGUGAUGAUAUAAUACGUGGAAGCUGUGGAAAAAAAUUGGAAAGGUUUUGCACAUUUCAUCAUGUACGAUGAUUACAAACCGAAGCAUAUCAGAAGAAGAAUAGUAACUUUGAGAAGGAUUCGAUAAAAUUUAGAGUCGAAGUGACGGUCGAGUUCGGUUUGACUACAAAACUUUUUGUAUAGUCAGUAGAGAACAUAUCUUAUUUCGUGUGAAAAUUUGGUAUUUUUUGAAACUGUUGGAUAUUUUUAAUUUUUUUUUAAAAAAACUUUGCCGAGUGUCCUAGGGUAGACACUCGGCAAAGAAAAACUUUACCGAGUGCCCGCCUAGGACACUCAGCGAACCUUUUUUUAAACCUACCGGCUCCGGCCGGCCCAGCCCACAAACACCACCCGCCCCCCGCCCCCGCGCCUUCUUCCUCACGCCGCCCCCGCCCCCCACCCGUGCCUCCGGACCGCCCCCUCCUCCCCCUGGCCUCCCCUCACGCCGCCCCCCUCCUCCCCUAGCUCCCUCCACCGGCGGCCCUCCCUCCCCCGGCGCACAUCCUCCACUCCUCCUCCCCUUCCCUUCCCUCCCCUCCCCUCCCCUCUUCCUCCCCUGGCCGGAUCUGGCGCCCCUAGCUCCCCUUUCUUCCGCGGCCAGAUCUGGCGCCCUCCCGGCGGCGGGUCGUGGCGAUCGGGGCGGCGGCGGCGGAUCAGGCCGCGGGGCGGCGGCGGCGGCGGGUCGUGGCUACCGGGGCGGCGCCCUGCCCCUCCCCUCCCUCUCCAUCUCCGGCUGCCGUCCACCCCCUCCCCGGAUCCGCCCCCCUCCCCUCCGCGCGGCCAGCCCCUCCUCCCUCUCCGGCCGCCGCCCCGGCCCCUCCUCUCCCUUUCUCCGGCCACCGCCCCGCCCAUCUUCUCUGGAUCCGGCCGGAUCCGGCCGCCGCACAGCCCCUCCUCCCCGGAUCCGGUGGGCGCGGACUUCGUGGUGGUGGCGCCGGAUCCCUCCCCUCCCUCUCCAGAUAACUCCCUCCACUCCUCCGCUCUUCCCCUCUCUCGCGCGGCGGCCUCUCUCCGGCCGCCGCCCCGCCCCUCUCCCCGGAUCCGGGGGGGGGGGGACUCCGCCCCUCUGCCCCGGAUCCAGCUCCCCGACCCGCGAGUGGGGCGAGCUUGCUCAUGCGGUCGACGUCGAGGCCAGGGUGUGGUGGAGGUGGUGGCCGGCGGGUGUGGUGGUGGUGGCGGCGGCGGGCAUGGCGGCGCGGAGGCAAGGCACGGCGGCCGGUGGGAGGCACGGGUGCAAGGCGUCGACGGCAGGAGGCAAGGCACGGCAGCAUGGGAGGUGGUGCUGUGGUGGUGGUGCUGGCGGUGGUGGCGGCGGCGGAGCAGGAUGUGGUGGUGGCGGAGGAUGUUUUUUUUUCAAAAAUUUGUUGCCGAGUGUUUUCUCGGCACUCGGCAAAGACUUUACCGAGUGCCCGACACAAAACACUCGGCAACUCAGUGUUUGCCGACUGAAAAAUUGCCGUGUGCCGUUUGCCGAGUGUUACACUCGGCAAACGGUUCGCCGAGGGUUUUUUGCCCUUCGCCGAGUGCCCCUAGCACUCGGCAAUUUCACUAUCUCCCGUAGUGGUGGCUGGACUUAUGGGGGGAUCAUUGAUGGGGGACUAGUUGGAUACUUUUUGGCUGUUUUGGGAGUCCUUGGCAGCGGCUUCUCAGGGCGUACGUAGCCCAUUGUAGAUUCCAGCCGAGAAGAUUAAGGAAUUGUGACUGCAACCAUGUUACUUUUCUAGGACUCUGUUUCUGAUAUUGUUCCCGCUGCAUCUUUUCAUCCCCAUGGUGAAUGUUGCUGUUGAUCUGUAGAUUGGAUUUGUUCCUCGGUAGCUUUAUUAGAUUUGUGCUGAAUGAUAAUCUCUGCCUGUGAUAUUUUUCUUCAUUGCGGAUGUGUGCCGAGUAUUAUCCCCUUUGUUCAUUCUGUUGGCUUUUUUUAUUGUCUCUGUACUCGGCUGUUCAGCUUGUGCAGCUAAUGAUCUAAUGUAUUUUGUCGUAACUAUGUAUUUUUCGGAUGUGUGCCGAGUAUUAUCCCCUUUGUUUAUUCUGUUGGCUUGCUUUCAUUGAUCUUAAGAUAACUGGUGCUAUAAAUUCACACUAGCUGAUGCACUUGCAAAUAGCUAUGUAAAUAUGAAAAGAAGUAUUUUUUUAUCCUUUUGUUUGUUUGGCAUCAUAUCUGUUUAAAUGGCAUAGCAAUAAGAAUUUUUUGUUUUUGGGGAAUCAUAUCUGCUUAAAUGGUAUAGAAAAUGCUGAGUGCACUGUCAAAUAGAUUUUCCAGCAGUCUGCUUUCAGUUGUUUUUGCAAAUCCUCACAGGCCAGUGAACUGACUUUGUUUUUACCACCCCAUGCCAUUUAAAUGACUAAAUCAGUCAGCCUAAUACUAUAUAUGGUCAUGCUAUGAUCUUAUUUCUUGAAGCUCUAUAGGUCAACCCAUAAGGGUAACUUAGUUUUUCCUAUUCUGGCUGGGGAAGUGGAUACGAUGGCUAUCCUUGGUAGAGUUAAAUACAUUGGCGGCUCUUAGCGCGCCAAUGUGGCACCACAAUAUCGAACAUAUGUAGAAACCCCCUUGUUUUUUCUCAUAUCCCUCUCUCUCAGCGUCCUCUUCUCUUCUUCUCCUCUGUCUCCUCCCCUCCCAUCGCGUGCUUUAUUGCGCCGCCGCCAUCCGCCUCCAUGUAUGAACACGUCGUUUGUCAUGAAGAAGCAGUUGAUGAGGCAAUCAAGCAUGUGGUGCACAAGGUUCUUCUGCUGGCCAAGUCCGAGUCGAACAGCCGCGCAUUCAUUGGGGAAGCACGCGCCAGGCAUCACCAGGCUCCUCGUGCCCCUACUCUGCUCCAAGGACUCGGUGCUUCGACGCGCUGCUUUCCCUGUCCGGCGAGCGGGGAUCGUUGGGAGAUGAUCGAUGGAGGAUGGAGCUGAUCCUCCUGUACACGGUGCCGGUGGGGAGCAGGGAGCUGCGGAGCAGGUCCACGGGCGGCGCCAUUACAGCAGGUGCAGGCUAAGGGUAAUGAGCAGAUCGAGGCGAUGGAGGAGGACCCGCACGAGGUGCAGCUUCUUCGCCUCCUGCGCAAAGUCAGCGCCCAAGCAGCCGCUGAGGGACAGGCCGAGGCUUAGCUCGAUCUCAUCCGACUAAAUGGUGGCUGCACUCCCACAGUCCCACUGGUGCUCCUCCCUUCUGUCCGAACCUGCCGAGGAAAUCCCUCGAUGCCAUGGGUCCCGGCUGGACGACUACUCCUCCCACAGAUUGACUGAGGAAGAAGAGCUUCUCAGUGUCCAAAAAUUCAGUUACACUGGAAACAGCAACCAAUUACGUUCUUCCGGCUCAGCCAAGCCCCAAUCUCCUUGCUUCUGUGCGCCCCUGCUAAAUAUUCCAGAAACCAAUCUGGUUAGUUGUUUUUUCACAUUUUCAGUGCAUGCCGGUGCUGCUGUGUGCGGCAUGCAUGGAGUUGUCGUGGGAGUGCACGGUGGCUUAGCUGGUGCGCCAGUGCGCGGGCACGAACACAACGGUGAAGAUGGCAGGGCCAUCUCAAAGCUCCUGAGCACCUGCACGCGUCGCUGAGCAGGACAUGCUGCGACGGUGGGCGAGCGCUGCUAACGCCCUGGGGAAGAGCAGUGGGUGCAGAGAGAGGGAGCGAGGGAGAGGGGUUCUUGUAUAUGUUUGCUAGCGUGGCACCGUUUACGGUGCCCGCCUAAGUGGCAUUCACGUGUCAUUCAUCCCAAAUGGUGUUGCAAGGUUGAACCUAUUGUGGGAGGCUUUUGGUUUCCCUUGACAGUAUCACCAGUGAUAUCACUGCGUUCUGGUUAUGUAUGAAACACUUGUCCUUUUAAAACCUUUCUGAAUUUAGAAACGAAUUUGAAACAUUACCCUCAUUUCCAUGUUUUUCUAUCUUUUGUCCCUGUAAAAUCAAACUAAAUUUGAAUUAUUAUGUUCAGAACUACAAGCUGAUUUACUUGUCCCAUUUGCUAAUAACAGGGCCUUGUGAUUUCUAAUGAACAUUGCAGAGCAUGUUAUAAAGCGUAUGCAUGAACACCAAGGGGAUGAAACCAUUGGUAUAUUUCUCACAACCUUUUGAACUUAUCAUUUAGCAUAUUUGUGUUCUAGUGUGACGUUUCAGCCACGAGACAUGAGAAAUGUUAGCUAUGGAUUUUGGUUAUUCAUCAUGGGUUCACAGAUUUGUUUUUCUCUAAAAGAAUUGGGAAGUAGCUUUCUUUCUGGGUAUAUGUGGGGAAAUGCAUAUGCAAUCUUUUAUUUAUUGAGGUGACUGUAAAAUUCUUGUCUGACUGAAUAUGCGAUUUCAACCUACAUGCUAUACUUAGGGAAAUUUGUGAAUCUCCUAAUGUCUGCUGCAUGGCAUGAAUGCAUAUUUUACUGGUCCAUAAUGUGAAGUUCUGUAUAUAAACUUCUCGUGUUGACCCUUUAGAACAUGCUAACUGGAGAGUUUUCUAGAGUAGUUAAACAAGAGAUUUAGUUAAAUCUGCACACAUAGGUGGGGCCUGGCAUACCCUAAGAAUCGGCCUAGCCGGUCAGCCCAUUAGUAAAAAAAAAAGCACCGCAGUCAGCAGUCCCCACGUUGGUCUUCCUCGAGUCGCGACUCGCGAAGCUCCCAUCCUCCGAGUCCAAGAUGGUGGACUGUGUCGAGCGCGGGGCGGGCGAUUAGUUGCCCGGCCGCCGGCGGGGGAUGGCCGGACGGCCAGAUCGCCGACUCCUCUAGUCCUCCCUCCAGCCUCUGCGCUUCUUUCACAGUGGAGCUAGCGGCGAGGCGCCCGACCGACACCCUUCUUCCCAAAUCCCGGCAGCCCUACCUCGAUUUGGCCUCCUCCGAUCAUUUGAUAAUCAAUUUGAUGAAAUUAAUAUGGAGUUGCUUUCUUGUAUGGUUGCCUUCAAUCCUGCUAAUUCAUUUGCUUCAUUUGAUGCACAAAAGAUACAUAGACUUGCUAUAUUUUUAUCCACAAGACAUCACAAGCACGGAUUUGCUAAAACUUGAAUUCCAGCUCGAUAUUAUAUUGAUGAUGUGAGAUAGGAUGAUAGUUUCAAAGGCCUACAAGAUCUUGUUAACUGAGACUCAGUUAAGCUUGUUGAAACAAACAGGCAUAAUAUUUAUGACUUGGUUUACUUGCUUCUCAAAUUGGUAUUGGUUCUUCUUGUGGCGACAGCUAGUGUUGAAAGGGAUUUUUGUGCAAUGACUUUGAUCAAGAGUAAGCUAAGAAAUAAGAUGGGUGAUAGUCUUUUGGAUGAUUGUCUUAUCACAUUCAUUGAGAAAGAUAUUUUCUUUGAAGUGGAUGAAGAAGAUAUAAUUAAGACUUCAUAUCCAUUAGAAAUCGUAGGCUGGAGAAGAAGUAAUAUUUUAAUUUUCUUUGAACGUUAGGUCUGUAAGCUUCUUUUAAACUAUCUACAUUAUAAUUUAUGGACCUUUUAAUUUAACCGUUGAAUUCAUGAUAUUAUGAGAUUUUUUUAUCUAUGUUAUUAUUGUUUACCGAUUUAUUACCAAAUUAUUAGUUUGAUCUUACAAUAUUGUAUUUUGGAUGAUUGGCUCGGCAUACUCUAAGUUUAAAUCCUAGCUCCGCCACUGUUUGCACAUUAAUGUGGCUUAUAUGUGUGGAGUCACUUAACCUAUGCACUUGGACCUCCACUCCCUUAGGUUUUAUGAACCUAAUUUGACAGCCUGCUCGUCUUUUAUUUUCUACCAAUCAGCUAGGAACGAACAUGGUGAUGUUUGCAUCUCUGCCAUCAAUGGCUUACAUGUCAUUAUGUAUCACAUUAGCAAGUCUUGUUUUGUUAUUGGCUGGGAUGACGGGGACUCUAGCUGGAAUUGAAUCAAAGUGGUAGAUCACAGGGUAUUCAUUGCCAUGUAUUUCUGCAGUUGCAUGGACUUGCAUCAAACGGACCUUCCUACUUAUGUGAUUGUCCUAUAUGAUCUCCUUUGAUUUCAUUUGCACACUGUAAUCACAUUAGCUAGAACACUCGCUUUUUGCUUCAAAUUUGAAAUUCAUAUCAUGAUGGACUAGAACGCUGAAUUUCUUGAUUGCUGAGUUACUAAUCACAUUGUGGCGCUGCCAAAGAAGCUGGACUCUUCAUUGUUGUUGCCUUGUGGGCUGCCGUGUGCAAAGAACAAGAGCGCACGGUAUUAUAAUAGCAGAGCAGAACACAGACAAGCGACAAGGAGCGGAGCAGAGCAGAGCACAGCCAGGCACAAGCAGUAGAGUAGAGCAGAGCAACCGGGAGAGGAGAGGGCACAUAUGCAGAGUAGAGCAGAGCCAAGCGCAAGCAUUCAUGCACUCAAGCAUGCAGCAGAGGUGUAGCAAGGCAAGCACAAGCAGCAGAGCAGAGGGAAGGGAAGGCUGGGAGAUGAAUAGGCGAAUAGUUACCUGGACAGAGCAGAGGGAAUGGAGAUGAUGCAGAUGCUUCCGGAGACUCGAGAUUUGGAGAGGAACAAGGCCACGUUGUGAACAAGGUCUCCUUUCUCUUCUCUAUUUCCCGCGCAAGUACUUGUGCAUAGUGGCUGCCUCAUCCUCCAGGACGUCCACUUCAACCUGAGGCGGGUGCCACAGACAUCCUGGCUAUGCGACGGCUACCCCCAGCACACCCCCGGCGCCUAUGAACCAUGAUCCUAAUACUAUAAAUUGUCAACCUUGUAAUCUUAUUUCAAGCAUGCUCUCUAUGUCAACCUGUAAGGUUAACUUCGUUUUUCCUUUUCUGGGUAGGGGAGUGGAUAUUGCUGUUAUUUAUAUUAUGUUGAUAUUGGUUUCCACAUGUCAUUCACCCCAAAUGUGUUGCAAGGUUGAACCUAUCAUCGGAGGAAUUUUUUUCCCUUUACCUUUAUAUCACUACGCUCUGGUUAUGUAUGAAACACUUGUCUUCUUAAAAACCUUAAUUUAGAAACAAAUUUGAAACACUAUCUUCAUUUACAUCCUGUAUGUGUUUUCUACCUUUUGUCCUAUAUGAUCUGCUUUGAUUUGAUUUGUGCAUAGUUUUUUCAAUUCAGACCUGGUGAUUUCUGAGGUUCAUGUUGUGCUGAUAAGCAGCCUACUAUUCAGUAACACUUUCAUGUGGCAUGUUCAUGUUAGCUAGCUAGAAACACUGCUUUUAGCUUCAAAAUUCAAAUUCAUGACAUGAUGGACAUUGACAAUGAAUUUCUUGAUUGCCGAGCUAUGUACACUGUAAUUCAGACCUGGUGCUUUUAGUUUUUUUCUUGAUUGCCGAGCUAGAAACACUGUGCUUUUAGUUUUUUCAAUUCAGACCUGGUGAUUUCGGUUUUUUCAAUUCAGACCUGGUGAUUUCUGAGGUUCACGUGUCACACCGAUUUUAAGAACAAAAUCGAGUGCAUUAAAUAUACAUGUACGCUAGGAUCAGGUUACACACAUGUACGACAUAAGCGAAUAUCAAAGACAAUGCCAUAACGAAAUAAAGAGAGUAUUAAUCAUUAUUACAUGACCGAAAGUCUCAAAUAAACCACAAAAUCUAUUUAUUACAUAGCGGAACUUCUAAGAUAGCAACGUCUCCACAGGCAGCUGACUGAAGAACUGUAUGCCUAGAACUCUUCAAAAUCGUGCAGGUACUCCUCCAGAUUAGCUUGGUAUGAACAACGGUUUUGCAAGGGUGAGUACACUUAUGGUUGGUACUUAAUAAGUCGUGGGAAACAAUGUAGUGUAAGGCAAAUCAAGGUAUGGCUAAGGCUUAAACAGCAUCAGCUUUUAAUUUAGUUGGUCAAAUUUUAUUAGCAAUUAAUUAGACGUAAAUUUAUACCACCCGAAAUUAAACAAGAACAUGAAUAAAAUAAUAACAUAACCAUAAAUGAAAUGACAACAAUUUAAAUCCAUCUUUUCAUAGCAUUAUCAUGUGAGGGUCCAGUCCGUUCUUAACCGUGAGCACCGCUGAUCGAUCAGUUUUACACUCUGCAGAGGUUGUACAUCUUUACCCACAAGUCGCGUAAAAGUUCAAAAGAAUUUUGGACCCAACCAUGCGGUAUUUGCAAGGCACCAUACCACACUUCCAAGGUGUGAUUGCAUAUGAACGCUACGAGGCCUUUACAAAGAUUCAUUAGUAAGUGGUAACCCGCUAAGGUUUCGGUAUUUGGCGUGCACAACCUAUCACAGGCCGCUAAUGCAACGACUCAGUCCCCCCUCUUGCCUCAUCACGAGUAAGAUUACCCCAGACUAAGGUUUCUAAUUAUUCAGCCAAGAUCAGAACCAUUUAGUCUUGUGGUAGCACUGUUUUCCUGGGUGGUUCUCCAUGUUCCGAUUAAACAUAAUGGUCUUGUAUUAAUGGAAGGUAUAACAUAAAUAAUACCAAAUUAAUAAUAAUUCAGAUUAAAUCACCAUAACCAUAUUUGAGCACUAAGCAUGAGCUACCCAACAUAAAUUUAACCCGGUUGGUCAAGGCAAGGUAGAUAAAGUCUAGGAAAUUCUUAAUUGGGACCCAUCAAGUUUAAAUUAUACUUUGCAUGGUAUGUUGCAUAGAACAUGAAAGUAAAUGUGAAUAGGACUGAAAAGGAGUGAUUAGGGACACGACUUGCCUUUUUAACCUUGUUCUUGCUGUUCGUACUCUUCGAAAACUUUGAUCUUCAAAUCCCUUGAACUGCUGACCGUCUACACGCGUCACACGACCACAUACAAGCAAACAAAUAUAAUACAUAAGAAAACAGUACACCAAUCAUAAUUAAAUAGAAGAAACAAAUUUGAAAAGCUAUUCUACGCAUUAAAACGAAAACACGGAUACAAGGAACGUUAAAAACGGAGCUACAGUGCAAAAACUACGCUUAAAACAAGAUGCAGGGGUAUAACUACGAGAAACCAAACUUCCAGGGAUUUAAUUUUAAAUAAUUUUGAACUGCAGAAGGGGCAGCAGGGCAAAACGUAGAAAAUGCAGGGGCUUAAGCGCAAAAGCAUGGCUGCUGACUCAGCUGACUUGAUGUGGAUCGUCGGAUGGCGAUCCGGCGGCCGGCAGCUGCUGCGCUGACGUCAGCGACGGCGAGCGCCGGCGAAAAACGGCAGUUCGCCGGAAUCGCCCGGGAACGCGCGACUGGGUGCAGAUUUGAGCGAGGAUUAGACUAGCAGAUAGAAACGAGCGCAGUGAACUCAUUUGGGAUGCCUACGGCGAGGACUUGGCGACGGCAUCGGCUCCGGCGAGAACUUGCGGCAGGGAAACCAAAUAAAAUAAAAUAACACGGUUCAGAGAAGCGGCGCUGGAGGAACGCGAGCGAUUUUGCGUGCGAGCGGAAGAAAACACUGCGAGGAAGAUGACUGCGGGCCCUGCUUGUCUGCGGCAGGAGGAGAGCUGCGUGCGAGAAGAACCUGGCCACGAUCUGGGCCGUUGCCUUCGAUCUGGGCCGAGGCAAGCUAGCUGGCCCGCUGCUGCGGAAAGGUGCUGGGCCACGGGCGGAGCACAGCGUCGGGCCAGAAAGGAGAUGGCUGCUGCGAGGAAACAAAAGAAAAUGAACUGGGCUGCGACAGAGGAAAACUGGGCGUCGGCCAGAAAGAAGCUGCGUGCAGCUUGCUCUUGUUUCCGAACUAGAAACAGGAACUGACGGAAAGACAGAAAUCAAUUGGAGACUGAAACUGACGCCCCAGACUCUGAACUUCGAAAAAACAGGACAACCAGCCAACUGACAGAAAAAAAAAAGCUUAACAACCCAAAAGCAGUACACAACCACGAAACCAGGCCACAAGACUGAAAAAGCUUGAUAGGAACAUCUGGCGACUGAACCAAAAAACUACAGAACUGCAACUGAAGAACUAGAGAACAGAUAAAUAACUGAUUGAACUCUGAAACUGAAACACCAAAGAGCAGGAAGCUGACUGACGGAAAAUGCAAAACAGCAACCCAAGGUGAAACACAAAUUCUUCUUCAAGCAUUCAAACAAAGAGAUAUGCAACAGCAUGAAUGCUCAAUAAAAUCCUAUAUUUCAUUAAUUAAUUAGAAAAAAUGCUCAAAUGCCUAGAAAAAUGCAAAAGUGACCUUAUAUGCCUUAAACAAGCAAAUUCGUUUCUAGCGAUUUUUGGUAAAAUGCAAAAUUAGAGAUUUUGGGUGUUACAUCAUGUUGUGCUGAUAAGCAGCCUACUAUUCAGUAACACUUUCAUGUGGCAUGUUCAUGUUAGCUAGCUAGAAACACUGUGCUUUUAGCUUCAAAAUUAAAUUCAUGACAUGAUGGACAUUGACAAUGAAUUUCUUGAUUGCCGAGCUAUGUACACUGUAAUCACAUUGUGGGGCUGAUAAAAUAAGCAGCGUUGAGACACAUAACAAUUGAAUCUUAAGCUUCACACAGAAUCUGGACCAGUCAUCCUCAUUCCUGUCAUGCUGGAAAUGUCUUUGAUACAUUUCAAUCACAGGCAAUUGAAUUCGUACUGGGGAGGAUGGCAAUGGUGCAUGAAGAGAGAUCAAUGUGGCAAAUCUCACAUUGUUCAUUACCAGGUAUCUCCGAUUUCUGGUUAUUUUAAAUUUACCUUGACAUGUGACUUAUUGAGGUAUUGUAUUUCAUCUAAUGGUAGUUCUGAAUUUAUGGUAACCUUGGAUGGGGUUUGUCACUUUAUACACGCACGGACUUACAAAGGACAGCAAAUGAGUAUAUUUAGAGGGCUCCUGUCCAACCAUGGACUAUACUUAUGUACCCUUUUUUGACAUGGUAAUUUGAGGUUAAUGGAAAAGUAGCGAUAGUCGCCUCCAGCGAAGCUACCUUCUUCGAAAGCUCCGAGGCUGCUUUCUCGCUCUUAGCAAGCCGAUCCCUCGUAAUCAUCGAAGAGUAAGAGACCUACAGAUUUUAAAAACCAAGUUACCAAAAAUAACGAAGUAAAAGACAACACUCGCAAGACAAACCACCAAACUAUCUCAUAAUUGUACCUUCUUUACGAGGUUCGCCUCCAAGUUAAAGAGCUCUUCCAAGAUCAUUGACUUCACAGCUUGCUGAAAAUCUAUGCGCCAAAGGAUAUAGUCGUAAGCAUAAAAUAAAAAUUGGUAAAAACCAAGGACAGCAAAGCCAUCUACAAGCUGUUCUUACCCUCAUACUUUCGCACCUCAACGGCGAUCGGAACAACCUUCUCUCUAGCCUCGCCCUUAGACGCCACCACAAUCUUCCCGCCACACAAAUCCACAACCCCUCCUUUACCUUUGCCCUCUCCCGAAGUCGUCGUGCCCGCCUUCUCCACCCUUUUUGAACCGCCAACAUCUGCAUAGCGCUCGCAACCUUCACCUUCAGCCCCCCAGACCAAAGACAGGUUGUGAGGAUUAUAAACCCUACCUUCGGCGCAUGUAGCUAGAAUCUCCGUGCGCCCGCUCAAGCCCAGACACUCAUUCAGUCCCUGAAGCCCCGCCGGCAACCUCUCACCUACAUCAUAACAUUCAACUUUUAGCCUCACAUGAUCCUCACAACUAACCUUACCAACGCCCCCCAUAGUUUCUUCCAAGUCCUUCAAAAAUUUCGUUGAGGCCUCACCACAAUCAAAGAACCGUAGCAUCGAUAGAAACACCUCUACAUGCUUACCAGAUCUCACAGCUUCGGCACACCCACCCUUUGGAUCAGAUGAGAACGCAUCCACAAGCUUCGCCUUUUCGGUGGCAAACCCCCUCUCAAGUUUCCCAACAUCAGUCAAGAGAUGUUGCGCGCUCUUAAACUUCGAGCUUAUGGAAGGCACCGUGAUCUUGGUACCAGCUGCCGAAGACGCGUCAACCUUGGCACCCGUAACAGUAACAGGAGCAAAUCGAGGUUUCUUGGCGCCUCUUUUGAUCCGUGCGGCGGGCCCGGUGGAUGAAGGUGCAAGAGCUGGAACCUCCUUAGGAGGGCGCAUAGAGACAGGAACAACAUAUGCCGGAUUGCUCAAGUCGCCAGACGAAGCUGUCGACCACGAUGGCAACAUAGCAGACGAAGCCCCCGCGGUCAUUUCCUUCCUUUUUUGCGCCUCCAAAUUCAAGGUCUUUUGCUUCGCCUUAGCGGUCACUUGCAAUUCAAUAGUGAGCUUCACCAUGGGUACGAAGUCAAAUUUUGCCUUUUUCCUCUGCUCAAGACUAGCACCGCGACGGCGCCUCUUGCCCGUAACUUUGGGGUGAGGCAGAACCACAAUAUCAUACAAGUCAAAAAUCUAAGAUGAUGACAUUCCAUUUGUAUCCAUGAUUUAUAUUGUGUUCCUUGAAUAUCCAUUAAAGUCUACUUGAAUUGAUUUGCAAUUAUGUGAAUUGUAUGUGAAACUCUUUCCUUGUAUGGUUAUUCUAAAGUUGUCCCUAGUCGGAGUUCAUGUGAGGACACAUGAAUAUUAGACUAGCACAUGUAUUAGUUGAUGACUAUGUUUCACAAGUCAUGGACAUGAAGAUGUGGAACUAAUAAUGUGGGCACAUGUGGAGACACGUGCUAGGACUGACCCAACACGAGAAGUAGUUCUCUCUUUAUACAACAUAUACGCUUUGUCCUUAGACCUGAGAUUGUCGCAUGUACUCAAGAUGUGGAUCGACUUACUUAGGGGCUAUCAAAUUCUACGCCGUAACAGGGUAGUUAUAAAGGUAGCUUUCGGGUUUGUCAAGAAGCAUGCUAUGAGACAUGGUCAAUCAAGAUGGGAUUUGCCCCUCUCUGAUUGAGAGUGAUAUCUCUGGGCCCCUCGAGUGAUCGGAUCCGAAAAUGCAUGGCCAUGCUACAUACGAUUAAGAGUUAGCCUACAAAAGGAUUCCGAAUCAUAGGAUCGAGAAAGAGCGGUCGGCUUGAAGCUAGACCAAAUAUCGUGAGGCAAAGGGAAUAGCAUGUAUAUAAUGUUGUGAUGGUUCGUCUGAUAUGAUCUUCGUGUGCGUAUAGGAGUUGGCACGUCUUGCUAGAGGUCGCUACCGACUAUUGGGCCGAGUAGGAGUACUCAGGCCAUGUCUAUACGUAUCCGAACCCAUAGGGUCACACACUUAAGGGGCUGGAAGCCCAAUUCGGAUGUGAUCCGAAUUGGAUUAGGUUUAGAAGUACUAAUGGGCCUUGGACCUAGAGGCCCGUUAGGAACCUCUAUAAAUAGAGGGGUGGGGGCGCCCUAGGGUUUACACCUUUUUGGUGAAACACAUCUGCCGCGCCUCCCACGCCUUCGCCUGUUGCAACUCGCGGACCUAGCAGUCCGGCUUGCGACGCUUCCUCCCUGCACGUGUGGAUACCUUGGAAGUGUUGCUCCUGCAGCACUUGGACGAGCCGCCAACGAGCCACGACGAGCCACGAUGAGCCGACGAUGAGCCGCGGCACGAGGGGGAUCUUGCUGCACGUGGACGAGCUGCUGAGGAGCUGCUGGACGUCGAUGUGUUCGACUACGUACGACUACGCUGAUCGACUUCGCUGCAUCAACGCGAAUCUACAUCUUCCGCAUCAUUGCAUCGAGUGGUAAUCCCGUGAUCCUGAUACGGCAGUUUUCCUAGUUUACGCGGUAGAAAAUUUUGUUUUGUGCUAGUGUAGCCUAACUCAUAUCCCAACAACGUGUGCUAUAGGUCACGCAAGCCUGAAAAUGGCCACACCGGACACCGGGUACGAAAACAUGGGGGAUGGACCGAACAUUUGAAAAUGGCCUCCAUAUGUGUUUUCGGCUAUGAAAAUGUGUGUUAUAGGUCACAGAAGCUUGAAAACGGCCGCACCAGCCACUAGGGACGAAAACGUGGGGGAUGGACCAAAGACAUAAAAAAUAGCCUCCAGACGCGUGUUCGGCCAUGAAAACGUGUGGUAUAGGUCCUGGAAGGCCAAAAACAGCUACACCGGCCACCUGGGACGAAAAAGUUUGUGUAAGACCGAACACUUGAAAAUAGCCUCUGGACGCGUGUUCGGCUAUGAAAAGGUGUGUUAUAGGUCACACGAGCCCCAAAACAACCACAGCGAACACCAGCUACAAAAACAUGGGGGAUGGAUCGAAUAAUUGAAAAUGGCCUCCAGACGUUUGUUCGGCCAUGAAAUCGUGCGUUAUAGGUCGCGGGAGCCCGAAAACGGCCACACCGGCCACCGGGAAUGAAAAUGUGGGGGAUGGACCGAACAAUUAAAAAUGGCCUCCGGAUGUGUGUUCGGCCAUGAAAACGUAUGUUAUAGGUCACGGGAGCAUGAAAACGGCCGCACUGGCCACUGGGGACGAAACGUGGGGGAUGGACCGAAGACGUGAAAAUAGCCUCCAGACGCAUGUUCGGCCAUGAAAAUGUGUGCUAUAGGUCAUGCAAGGCCAAAAACAGCUGCACCAGCAACCGGGGACGAAACCAUGGCUGUCAAACCGAACGCUUGAAAAUCGCCUUCGGACGCGUGUUCGGAUAUGAAAACAUGUGUUGUAGGUCACGCGUGCCCGAAAACGUCCACAACGGACACCGGGUACAAAAACGUGGGGGAUGGAUCGAAUAACUGAAAAUGACCUCCGAACGCGUGUUCGGCCAUGAAAACGUGUGUUAUAGGUUGCGGGAGCCCAAAAAUGGCCACACCGGCCACCGAGGAUCAAAACGUGGGGGAUUGACCGAACAAUUAAAAAUGGCCUCCGAUUGUAUGUUCGGCCAUGAAAACGUGUGUUAUAGGUCAUGGGGGCCCAAAAAUGGCCGCACCAGCCACCAAGGACGAAAAUAUGGGAGAUGGACCAAAGACAUGAAAAUGGCCUCCAGAUGCAUGUUUGGACAAAAGUGUGUGCUAUAUGUCGUGCAAGGCCAAAAACAGCUACACCAGCCACCGGGACAAAAACGUGGGUGUUUGACUAAACAAGUGAAAAUGGCCUCCGGAAGCAUGUACGGCUAUGAAAAUGUGUGCUAUAGGUAAUGGAAGGCUAACAAAAGCUACACCGGCCACCGGGGACAAAAUCAUGGGUGUCAGACUGAACACUUCAAAAUGGCCUCCGGACGCGUGUCCGGCUAUCAAAACGUGUGUUAUAGGUCAUGCGAGCCCGAAAACAACCACACUGAACACCGGGUACAGAAACAUGGGGGAUGGACUGAAUAACUGAAAAUGGCCUCUAGACGCGUGUUCGGUCAUGAAAACAUGUGUUGUAGGAUGCGGGAGCCCGAAAACGGCCACACCGGCCACCAGGGCAUGGACCAAACAAUUGAAAAUGGCCUCCGGAUGUGUGUUCGGCCAUGAAAACGUGUGUUAUAGGUCACGGGAGCCCAAAAAUAGCCGCACCGACCACUGGGGAUGAAAUCGUGGGGGAUGGACCGAAGAUGUGAAAAUGGCCUCCAGAUGCGUGUUCGGCCAUGAAAACGUGCGCUAUAAGUCAUGUAAGGCUAAAAAUUGCUACACCGGGACUAAAGCAUCCCCCAUGAGUUACAAUAAAAGGAUUGUAUCCUCUACUCAGUCGGAUGUACUGUGUAGGUGAGAUGGUAAGGAAGCUAUGCGCGAGGUUUGAGGUUGUGGGUUGAAAUCCUACGCACCGCGCGCACACGCGCAUAUUUUGUGUGAAAAAUCAUGUGACUUGUGAUCGGCCAAGGAGAAGUGGGUGCAGCUGUGGCUUAAGUGGCUGAGGCACGCUGCCAUAGACAUCUCCGAUUUGCUCGAAGACUACCAAGACACUAGCAAUAACAAGAACUACUGCUCUUCCUAGCAGACUCUUUACAACCACUUUAAAGCUGUGCAUUUCUCAAUGUAAUUUCGUAGAAGGCAAUCGAUCCAACCAAGCGACUAAAUCAUUUGUUCUUGCCAAUGAUGUACAUCAGGUUUUCUAUAUGAAGGACAUGUCUAGCAAACCUAAGAUUUUAGAAGAAAAAGAAAAAUUAUGGGAGUCAAUAAUAAAUCAGGCCAAUCAGGAGAUUAUAGUAAGCUCGAUGGUAUGCCUCCAUUCGAUGUCGAAGUUGGCCCAAGCAUCAUGUUAGCCAAAGAUCAAAUGUUCGUGCAUUGCUACGGUAAAGAUCAAUUGUGUCUUUUAAACCCAUGGAAUUUUUUAUCUAUGUUUUUAUUACACUUAAUGGAUGUCUACACAUUUGCUAGAAAAUCAAAAUAAUUUUGACUUAAUUAUUUCUUUCAACUCAAAUACUCAUUAAAUUUCUACCUUUUUAUUUAAGCAAGAGAGUUGCUCAAAAAAUGGAUACGUAACCAUGUUGUAUCAUACAAAGCAACCACAUUUCACAUAUAGUCUGGCUUAGCAAACACCAUUGUUGUCUUAACAUAGUGUUCAUGAGUUAGUAGACAUGGAUCUAUUUCUAAUUGCAAGUAGUGCAGCGUACAACCAGCCUGCACCGCCGCAGCUCAAUAUGCGAUAAUUUUUUAUCUUCCCAUGUAAUUUUUCUACUCUAGUACAUAUUGAACUCCACAUAAAUGUCAUGUUCUUUCACGCCACAGACGGUUUCUAAAGUUUGGAACUAAAUAGAUAGCCAAAAAUUUUAAAAAAAUAUUUAUAUGGAUACAUGUAUGUUCUUUGCAAACUAACAAUAUUGUUUACAAUAUCAAAAGGAAUAUGGCUAUGAUCAUUGCCGCAUAUGGCAGGUGAUGGUAGAUGCCGUAUGGGGUUUCUUUAACUUAAUUGUAUAAUAAGCUGAAAUACAUUUUCUAUUUGCAAAUGAAUCAUAGCUGAAAGUGGUGGGAUUGUAGAACCGCCGGCCAUCGUGUCCUUGUAGGACCGCUGCACGAGCCUGUGAGCCACCAGCCACCAUGCGCCCAAGGGCCAUCACCACGCCAUAAGAGGAUGCUGUCUACCCGGUUUCGCGCGCCUGUGCUAGCUGCCUGAACCUGGGCCGCCGCCGGUCGCCUGCCCAGCCGCGCGUUGCGCCAGGGUUUUGCUGGUGACGACCAUGGCCUUCGCGAUCAAAUUAAAAAGUUAUCAACUGCAAAGUAUUAGGUCUCGUUGAGCUCUACAAUUUUGAUAUAAAGUUUCUAUUCAUCCGAGAUCAAAUAAAAAAUUUGAUACUCAAAGCAUAAAUCCAUUAAUCUAGUCUUGCUAAUCCUUACCACCAAAUAAAAAACUAGCAUGUGUUGUGUGUUUGUGACCCUAAACGAUCACAAAUGAAUAACUUAUGGGCCUUGCUAGCGCCCGGAUGUCCAGGCCGGGGCACUAGCAUCAGACCCACGAGUAGCCGUCCGAUCAGGUUCGACACCACUUCAGGAUCUGGCUUAAAAAGAAGUCCCACCGAAACAUUGUUCCAUGUUGCAUGAAGCAACCCACUACCGUCGCCAGGUCUAGAGCAAGCACCACCUUCAAAUGUGCUGCUCACCCUAGCUAAAUAGGGGCAUUAAAAUAUUUCUCGCAUAUCCUUCUCAAAUUAAACAAAAUCGCAACAUCUGAAAAUUUUUACAGAAAACCAUGAAACAUAUCGAUUAGAUAGAUGUAACAAGAUGGAAUAUGGUAUAUGCAACAUAUAGGUUCCGAAAAGCAGAUGAAAUAUUAUGUAAUGAUUCUUGAAACAGUCAAGAAAAAUAGAUGUAACAUCUAAAAUUAAGAAAAGAAGCUUUAUGCAAAUUGCAAAAAGCUGAAACAAGUGGUUGAAACAUUUCAAAUCACCAAAUGCCACAUUUGAAAUGACCAGAUGAAACAUCACGAAAUCAAUUGCAACAGUUGAAGAUGAAAACAUUCAAAUGCCUUGCCUUUCUCCAAAUUUGACCCUCCAAGCAUGAGUCCAGCCAUUUGCACAUUAGACCCUUGGGAGGAGCUCACCGGAGAACAACAAGACCGUGUUAUCCAACAAUUUUCAGAUCAAAUUGCAACAUAAAGAACAAAGCAUUGCAACAUCUGGCAUCACGAGCUACAACAGCAACCAGUUAGGAUCAGGAGAAAGAGGGCAAACACAAGCCUAACAAUGAGUUAUAUCCGGUUUAAACAAGGAUAAAAAUGAGUGUAUUUUACACUCAUCAUGUUGUCUUUUCGCAGCUGUACCGCCUUUAGCGUGUUGUAUUGUUCCUAACACCAAGUCUCCGAGGCCCGAAAAAAUAAGGAAAGUGGUAGCAGCUCAGAAAUCGACUAAGUUUCUUUCCCCCUUUGGCUUUCCUACUAGGAUUCGGAAUCCUCUUUCGUAUGACAAUCUUAAUGAUCUCCCAUAGUCCAAAACUCACAAAAACAUCAAAAAUCCACCGAGAAUAAAUUAAGUAAAAAAACAUGCACACACAGAUAAUAAUAGUAAUCAUGUUUCAUUAUGAUUGCUAAGGUCAGACACAAUACAUAAACAUAUUAGACUGAGUGACCCACCUCACCUCAGAGUAUGCACCAUGUCUGAGUGACCCACCUCACCUUGCCAGGACACUGGUCCUGCCCUCGUGGUUCACGCGCCCUCGUGGUUCAGCAGUGGUCAGUACACAAAUCUAGCUGCCAGUCGGAUCCAAGGGCAGGCAUUUGCAUUGUGGUUGUGUUUGAACAUGGAGAUGUCAUUAUUAUUGUCAGGCACCAUACAUCCUCUCUCAGUUUCACUCCGCCUCACACACGGAUAGCACACCAGGGACCCGACACCAUGCAUGCCGAUUUCAUAUUAUUAAUAUUUAAUUUUUUUAAUGGUUGUUGAAACUAUAUUGUUGAUAUUUUUAUACAUAAUUUACGACCUAAUUUGGAUAUAUUUUUGAAAUAUUCCGAAAUCUUAAAUUCACACGUCUAGAGAUACAGUUAGUCCAAUCUGAUGUUUCCGAUUAUAAAAAUGAACAUAAAGAGAUAGGAAGCGAGAGACGUGAGGGGGAAAGUUAAAUUAGGGCCUAAGGGGUGAAGUUAGGGUUCCAGGUGAGCUGUCAUCACUACGUGUUUUUAAUCGAAAUUGGAAUGUCAGCAAUCGUCAGAUCUUGAGCCAACAGUUGAGACUGCCUCGGAAUGGUAAUUAGGUCUGCGCGAGCUUGCAUUGUGGCCUUCCUUGAAACCUUGGACAUAGGUGUUAUAUUAUUAUGUUCUUGCCAGCACACAGCAGUGAAGGACGACACAGUUGAGAUGUGCAUCACAUUUUCUAUAUGAAGGAUAUGUUUAGCAAACCUAAGAUUUUAGAAUAAAAAGAAAAAUCAUGGGAGCCAAAGCGCCACAUAGUUCUUCCAGGUAAAAAAAAAUCAUCCACUGGACCAGCACAUAGUAACGAUCCAAAAAGUCCAUAUUAAGAUUUUUUGAUAGCAGAAAAAACAUAAAAUGUCUAAUAUUUGUAGUAUUAAAAGGAAAAAUAAUAUAUUCACGUGACCUUUUUCCCGUAGCAAGGCACCGGUACGUGGUCAGACUUAAUGCACGAUGCCUAAGCAUCCAUUGGGCCUACCCUCGUGUGGAUCACGCGCAACAGGACACGGCUCACAAGCUAUGAUGUGCAGCAGUCGCUCAGAUGGCUGAAAGGUACCCUUAAUUUGAAUGGUACCAUAUAUAUAUAUAUAUAUAUAUAUAUAGUAAACAAGACAAACCACCGUUGAUACUACUUUGCACUACUUGAUACAUAUAUCUCCACCAAAAGCGAGGCACGUGGGGAGGAGAGAUAUGUGGUUGAUGGUGCGGGCACGUGGCGAGUGCACCGUACGAAAAUUUUGCUCGUGUCGGACGACUGAUGUGAAGCAUUACCCAAUCUUAAUUAUCUCCCAUAAUCCAAAACUCACAAAAACAUCAAAAAUCCGCCGAGAAUAAAUUAAGUAAACCAUGCACACACAGAUAAUAAAAUUGCUAAUAAGGCCAGAGACAAUACAUAAACAUAUUAGACUGUUCAUGACACAUAUCACGGUGGAUAGUGUCUGUGUCCUUAUUACAAGCAAUGAGAGAUGCUUGUCACCACACACACGCGCACAGAUGCACAACAUACAUAUAGUUGAGACCAACAGAUGGAUCAACUAGAGGUCACCCCAUAUGGUGAACAAUUUAUUGGAGAUAAACAUUAACAUAACUUGGCCAUAGCUUGAAGCAUAGCAACAUAUGCCUAUGAACGGCGUUCAUGCUAUCAUUUUAGGCUUGUCCGCUUCUUCCAUCUUAGCAAGCACUUCCAUUUCUACCAUCUUAGAAGCAACUGUCAAAUUGAGAUAUGGAAAUCCCAUUAGCGCAUGAGUUAAUUUUGCAGUGAAAAUAGAGUACAAGAUAUCUUCAUGAUGUAAGUAACAUGCCUGAAGUUGUGAGAUGGGAAGUGAAGUCAACAAAUUACAUUAACGGAAAUGCAUGGAAGGCCACACAUACGUAUUAGUCCAUGAUAUGCUACAAAGCUUGUAUGUACAUAUAGCAAAUUAAAUGCAUUAAUUGAAUAGAGUGAGUUUAGUGAAUUUACCAGAAUCGUCCAGAAAACAUGGGAAACAGCAAGUGUUCUUGCAGACUGCGUCGGUGCCACCCACAGCAAUACAACCAAAACAACAUGCUUUUGCCCGAGCGGCUGCGCAGCAGCCGCACUCUGCCGCGGUGGCCGAGUUAGCAUUGAGGCUCAAGAUGACCAGGCACAUGAUCACCAUCAAAGCGGUGGUAGUCCUCUUUCCCUCCAUUGCCUCCUCUUGCUGCUACCUUCCUUGGUUACCUAGCUAAGUUUAUUGGUUUUGUGUUGAGAGGUGAUUCUUGCAUUGAAUGGACGUUGCCGCGGCUGCAAUUUAUAGGCAGCUGCGCUAUGUGAUGAUAUGGACAAGGUGCAAAUGGGUGGUCCUGAUAUGGAUAAGGUGCAUGCGAAUGGCUGUCUACUUGUAUAGUGGCGCUCCAAUGUACAUACGUAUGUAUCUUAUGCAUGUAUACAGUUGAUGGAUGUACAUGUUUGUUGCACAAAUUAUUCUGAACCAACUCUUCAUAACAGGUCUUUGUUACCAAGUAAUUUUACUUUUGCACGUUUCAGCCGAGAGGCAGAAGAGAAUAUUUUACAGAGAGGGCAGAGAAGGAGGUUGGCGGAGGCGCCGUGGUAGGGUUCCCCGUGUCGCCAAGAUUUUUGCAUUUUAGAUGUGUGUAUUGAUCACUUCGUCGUGCUCGCGGGGCCCAACUCCAGGUUGUACCCCAGCAGACCACGUUCUGUUUCUCUGCCUCCAAUGAGCAUGCAUGCCUCCACAAGGACCACAAGACUUAGUAAAAAAGCUAAACUUUGCAACACGAUGUAUACAGAACGUUUUGAAAUGUACUCUCGUUAGGCAUUCACCUCCUUAACAAUCACUGCGACUGUAAAAGAGGUACAUCGACGCUAGCUAAAUAAACCACUAUAAGAUUUAGCAAGAGAUCAUUUUAUACAAUCCUGUAACGAAACAAUUUGACAAUUAUAGUGUCCAUAUAUUUUGACAAAAAAACGUUUAAAUUAUAUAAGGAGGUGGGCCCGAAAACGGUUGGAUUACAUCGAGAACGUUUUGAAACAGUUGGCGGAGCAGGAUUCUGGCGUGGAGCAUCUACAUUGUCGCGCGCGCGGACUGCCGGAGUAGGCACGCUCGACUUGUCCCAUCGCCAGCUAAAUGAUUUAGUACCGGAUGGUCUCUAGUACCGGUUGGAGCUACCGUCCACCAGGAGCUUUUCUAGUUUGGAACUGGUACUAAUGCUAAUAUUAGUAUCAGGUCAAAAACAAUCGGUACUAAGGCUAGGGAUGACACGUCAUUUUUCUAGUAGUGUGUGCAAUUGGUUUUGUAAUUAGUCUAUAUUUAAUACUUCUAAUUAGUAUCUACACAUUUUAUGUGACAGGGACUGAACUUUAGUCCGUGGAACCAAACACCCCAUAAGUAUGUUUGGUGCUGUAAGGAUUUCGGUUUUAUUUAAUUUCCUAGGCAUUUAAAUUUCUUUCUAAAAUAAGUUAAUGAAUCAUAGGAUCUCAUUGUUGUAUUCAAGCUGGUGCAUUGAUUUUGCCUAUAAAACCCGCCGCGGUCUUCGCAGCCCCCAUCAAACCCUAGCGCCCUUGCCACAAGCUCAGCACCGCUGCCGCCCGAGCUCGAGCACUAGCACCCACCCAUCGCCGUUGCCUUCCCGUCGAUGGGAUCACCGCCCGGAGCUUCGCAUCGUGGUAAGGAAGCCGCCCGUGAAGAUCCCAUGUGCUCCUAUGCCCUCUACCGCGUCCCCGAGUUCCCGGAGUUGCUAGUCUCCCACCGAGCCGACUCUCCGAGCUUCACGUCACUGGUGCCGCUCCGAAGACCUAGUUCGGUUCGCCAUGCACCUCGCUUCAUCCUGAGCUAAACCCCAUAAUGAAUGGUGGUCGGAUGCUCGCCGCCACGGCGCGUCGUCUUUUCUGUCGCCCGUGCAUUGCCUAUCCCCUUCCAGCCGAUUGCAGCUGUCCGAUCGCAAACCGGUGGCCCUGAUCGGAUACCAAGGUCAAUACCGGUCGAACCGAGCCGUGCGCUGCUUUUGCAAGAAGGCCCCUGUUUUUCUCUCUUUUUGCACCUGAGGUCCUACGCAGUUCAAAAGUAAUAAGAUCUAGGUCCUUUUUCUUUUGUUUUAGCCCGUGUUCUUUUAUAAAAUCCCGCCCACUAUUCUGUUUGGUCUUUUGACGCGUUAGACCUUCUUUUUAUAUGUUUAAUUAGGUUUUAGGUCUCGAUUUCUUUAAGUUUAGCCCUUGAAAGUUUAGUUCUCUCGCAGUUAAGCCCCUGAACCUUGUUUAGCUCAUAUCUUAAGCGUUUUAAAUCCGUUUUAACAGAUUCUUGCGCCUAUAAGUUCAUGUUGACGCAUAGAUUAGUUGACUUAUACGAACCUUGCUGAUUCAGCUCCUUGAUUGUGCUUCAGAUCUCGCUAGGGAAGAAUAAUGGAUGGGCUUUGGUUGAGCUUGUAGAUCGACUUGCAGUUGCAGUGAAUGAGCAGAGGAUUGGCAGUGAAUAAGAUCAGGCCGCUGCCCUGCUUGGUAGGGAAAAUAUCUGCUUGCUACCAAGGCCUGUGACGCAUGGACCCCAUUGAGAGUGCAUUAUUGACAAGGACUUAAAGCCAAGGGCUCCACACCUGUCAUUGAUCAGCUGUCUGCUGGGCGCUGCAAGGAGGUAGUGCAUGUUUGACAUAAAGAAGCAGGUGGCCCAGGAUUUACGAAAAAUAAGGAUCUAUUUGAUACCCUUGCUUAUAUUUAGGGGCUAAAAGUUGCUUAUUUGAAGUUGCUUAUUUUUAAUCCUAGCUGUUUGAUUGCAUGGGCUAAAGAGCAUUGAAUGAGGUGGAUAUUGUCAUGUUUGCCUCUAAUGAUUGCUUCCCAUCACAUUUCUCCCCCCUCAUUCAACGAGGGAAGGAGGUGUAAAGUGCACCUUUUAGCCCCGAUAAGUAACCCUUGUGUUGUUUACGGGCUGAACAUAAGUAGCUAAAGUUUAGCUCCAAUAAACAAGAGUGUUUGGUAUUUUUGGGGUUAAAAGGGGCUAAACUUUAGCUGCUUAUGCAUAAGCAAGGCCAUCCAAAUAGGCCCUAAGUAUGUUUGGCGUUGUAAGUAGGUUUUAUUUAAUUUCCUAGGCAUUUAAAUUUCUUUCUAAAAUAAGUUAAUGAAUCAUAGGAGUUCAUUGUUGCAUUCACGCUGGUGCAUUGAUUUUGCCUACAAAACCUGCUGCCGUUUCCGCAGCUCCCAUCAAACCCUAGCACCCCCGCCACGAGCUCCAGCGCCGCUGCCGCCCGAGCUUGAGCACUAGCGCACACCCAUCGCCGUCGCCUUCCUAUCAAUGGGAUCACCGCCCGGAGCCCGUGUCAUGGUAAAGAAGCCGCCCGUGAAGAUCCCGUCCACUCUCGUGCCCUCUACCGCGUCCUCGAGUUCACCGGAGUUGCCAGUCUGCCACCCAGCCGCCUCUCCGAGCUUCAUGUUGUCGUUGCCACUCUAGCUGCCUCUCUGAAGACCUAGAUCGGUUUGCCGUGCACCCCGCUUCAUCCUGAGUUAAACCCCAUCAUGCCACGUCAUAGUAAGGAAGCUGCUCAUGAAGAUCCCGUGCGCUCCCGUGCCCUCUACCGCGUCCCCAAGUUCACUGGAGUUGCUAGUCCACCACCGAGCCGCCUCUCCGAGCUUCACUUCACAGUCGCUGCUCCAGCCACCACUCUGAAGACCUAGAUCAGUUCGCUGUGCACCCCACCUCAUCCUGAGCUAAACCCCAUGACGAACUGUGGUCGGAUGCUCAUUUUCGAGUGAAUUCCGGCGAGAUGGUCGCCCGCCGCCGCCAUCUCCAUCGCCCAUGCACCGCCUGUCCCCUUCCAGCCGAUGUCCGAUUGCAAACCGAUAGCCGAAAUCGGAUGUGGUCACCAGGAUUAAUACCAGUCAAACUAAGCCACGCGUGCCGCUUUUGCAAGAAGGCCCCUAUUUUUCCCUCUUUUUGCACUUGAGGUCCUAUGCAGUUCAAAAGUAAUUAGAUCAAGGUCCUUUUUCUUAUGUUUUAGCCCUAUUCUUUCAUAAAAUCCCGGCUGCCAUCCUGUUUGAAAUAGAUACGGUUAUAGAUAUGCAAACAUCUGCAUAUUUCCAACCGUAUCUCUUUCGAACGGGAGACGCCUAACUAGGUUACGUGACAUACGAACAUCAUACGGAUAGAGAGGGGUAGGAUGUCUCACCUUGCUAUCCUACAAAGUGACGACUCGAGGACAGUAAUGUAGCCUCUCCUUCAAAAAAAGAACAUACUACUAUCAAGUUAAAUUUUUGACAGCACCUCCCCUGCACGUGGAGGUUUCCAUAACCUGCAUCAAAUAAAACGGCACGAUGGCUGACAACCACAUCUACAGCACCAGAAUGGCACGAUGGCCGACUUCCACAUAAAGUUCUUAUACCUUAGAUUGCCAAGUCAAACAUCCUUUUCUAAUUUCUAAAACAAAAGCCCUCCCACCUCUCUAUCUUAUACUUUCCUAUUUACUAAUUGCUUUUGUAAUUUCUAAUUUCUAUUUCAUCCUACCACCUCUGUACCCUUUUCUCAUUUCUAAUUCCAAUUUUCUAACUUGAAGAGCAAAGAUUGAUUACUAGGAGGGGUGAGGGACGCCGGCCUAGAGAGGCGAGGGGACGUCCGGCGGCGGCGGGUGCGUCGGGGGUAGGAUGCCAGGGGCGGCUGCAGGGGCGCCGGGUUGGGGGCGGCCGGGAUCGAGGGCACCAGUAGCGGGGGCACCGGGCCGGGGGCGGCCGGCGGGGCGGGACGCCAGGGCCGGGGCGACGGGCGCCGGUGGCGAGGCCGCCCGGCCGGUGGUGGCCGGCGUGGCGCCUGGGCCGGGGGGGGGGGGCGGGCGGGGUGCGGCGCGGCGCGCCGGGGCAGGGCGCCGAGGCUGGGUGGUGGGGUACGGGGCGGCGGGCGGGGGGUGGGGGGAGGGUCGGCGGCGGGGCGCGGGGGCGGCCAGCGGCGACGGCGGAGGGCGUCGGUGGUGUUUCGGAAGUGAUACGGAGGGGGUAGAGAGAUUCGUUUUCGCGGCUGAGUGUUCGAGUCAGAAGGCCGUGCGGCUUAAGUCAGGUGGUUUGCCGAGUGCGCGCGAUCUGGCACUCGGCAAAGUCAGAAGUUUUGCCGAGUGUCAGAUCGCGGGCACUCGGCAACUGCAGCUUUUGUCGAGUGCCCUGGAUUCGGCACUCGGCAAAGUGAAGUUUUAAUUUUUUUUAAAAAAAUUUAAUCGGAACACGGGCGUGCCAGCGGGCCCGUGACAUACUUUGCCGAGUGUGUAGCAAAAACACUCGGCAAAAUAUUAUCUUUACCGAGUGUUUUCGCUAGGCACUCGGCAAAGUACACUUAUAUUUCAUGUACACUUUUUCAAUAACGUGUUUUACUAACCUUUUUCUGAUAUACUUGGGAAAAACCUUAUCAAAUUCACUCAACAAUGGAUAUAUGGUUUUUCUACUGACAUUAUUCCAUUAUUUCAUUCAGUUAUAGCUCAAAUUGAAUUUAUAUCUAUUAAAAAUCAAUAAUUGCAUUUAAUAAAUAAAAAAUACCAAACGGAUCUGAAAAAUUUCCAAAAUUUGACAUGAACCAAUCUAUGUUGUAUGUUGCCUGUACAAAAAGCUUUGAAGUCAAACCCCAAUUCAAGUGUCACUUGGACUCCAAAUCUUAUCGGAUCCUUUCUAACUUCUAUGAAUCCUUUCGGGAGAUGAGUCGGUUUGUAAGCAUCAUAUGUCAUAAAUUGGGCGAAACCUUCUCAAUUUUUUACCACAGCCUCCACAUAUAAUAUCAUGACACCUUGACAAAUCUUGUGAUUUUCAGACUUCGUUUGCUUUUUUUAGAAUUUAACAACCAUUCAACCACAUGUUCGUGAUCGUGUUUUCUAAAAAAAUGUUCAAAAUUUCUUUUCAUUUCCUGGUUGAGACCUCAAUCCGGAUUGAAUAAUAUGAAUAUGAUUUUUUCACUGAUUUUAAUCCAUUAUUUAAAUCACUUGCAGUUAAAUUUGACUUAAAUAAACAAAUUCCUAUUAAUGCUAUCAAUUCAUUAAAAAUAGCAAACAGAGAAAAAAUAGACCAACUUUUAAGAUGGAUUACCAAAUGUCAUAUGUGGGGAGUAGAAAAAGUGUGGAGAGCAGAGGUGGAAAAAAAAGUUUUGCCUUUGCCAAGUGCCUACACAAACACUCAACAAACUUUGCGGAGUGCCUAUUGAAAACACUCAGCGAACUUCUGAGUUUGCCGAGUGUCUGGAGGGAGCACUCGGCAACCUACUUAUUUGCCGAGUGUCCGCGUCGGACACUCAGCAAAGUACUAACGGCUGGCACACUCCCCUAACGGACGGCGCACGUGCAAGCCAUGUGCUGGAGAUUUAUCGAGUGUCAAAUCGUUGCCGAGUGUCGUGUGGAUGUUUGCCGAGUGUCUUAUUUGUGACACUCGGCAAAGCUAUUGUUUGCCGAGUGUAUUAUUUAUGCCGAGUGUCUUCCAGUAUACACUCGGCAAAUGAUGUCUUUGCCGAGUGCUCGACAUAAAGCACUCGGCAAAAAUUUUACACUCGGCAACAUUCCUGUUUCCGGUAGUGAGUGACCCGGGACUAAAGACCCCCGUUGUCUCUGAUUGCUUUAUUCCGGAUGGAUUUUCAGGAGAUUUGCUCCCUACCAAUAGGGACUAAAGGCAAGUUUUCCACUUAUAGCAAACCAGUUAGCCCAUUGUUGAUGGAACGCAUCACUAGAAACAGCUCGGGAUCCACUUGUCCAAUAAUCGAGAGGGCCUAUAUAUGGACCACGUGUGCGGAUCCCUAAUUAGGAAAAAAGAAUAAUGGAGUAGGACAUCUCCAUGCUCACCUAGUAGCCGCUGCUAGCUUGUGCGUGUGGAACACGAGUGCCGGCCCAGUUGGCGCUAAGACAUCGUACGUGCAUUAAGGCUACGAUCUCUUUCUUCUAACUCAUGCUUGUGCUAUUAUACAUUAUUGCAUGAUCAUCAAGAUAAGAUCGUAUAGUGACUGAGUGAGACAUGUAUGUACUAACAUGCAUUUAAGCCUCGAACUGUGUGUUGUUACGUGAGCUGCCUCCUCACCUCGCCUCUGAAUUAUUGAACCGUUUCCAACAGUGUUGGUCUCAAAUAAAUUUGACACCAAACAGAUUUAUGAAGAAGAGAGAAUAAUACUUGGAAUUGGAAAAAGUUUAUCUCUCUUUACAAUGGAGUAGGGCUCCCUUUUAUAGUGACCCAUAAGCCACUUUACAUUUGGAAAAUGUCCUUCCUCAACCACUACAUUAAUUCCUAGGAUAUGCUGUACAUAAAGGUCAUUUGAGGUAACGUGUACAAAUGAACUCUUCCACAUGGUCACGUUUCUCAUGCCUCCUGUUUUCCAACCUCGAGACAUCAUCUUCACGCCAAGUUGAUCAUCUAGCCUCGAGGCUCCAUCCACGAUCCAGAAUGAACGUCCAGGCUUGAGGCUCCUUCUUCGUUAAGCUUUGUUGAGAACUCAUAACCUCACAUAGUUCUCCUCCGAGUAUUGUUCCCGACUCAGAACACUCGAGGUUUAGCUCAGUUGGAGUUUAGCUAUUACUGUUGCUAGUCACCAGCCUCGAGCCCCUCCAGAAGCAAGGUGAUGCGAGGGUACGAGUUUUACUAUUAAAGGUGUUUCCAUAGAAUGUGCGAGGUUAAAGCACUUGCAGCAAAAGCGUGGAGCUGCUUUCAACCAGAGUGCAAUAAUGCAGCCGUGCCCAUCUUGGUCUUGGUCUCCGCCUGAACUAUAGCAGAUGCUGGCAGCGGUAGCAGGGUGGUCCAUUAUAUCUAUGGAUGGCAAUGGUCGGAUUCGGAUGGAAUCGAAUUCGAAUAGCACUUUUUACCACAUACUAAUUCAAAUCCGAAUUCGGAUUCGGAUGUUCUCGAAUGCGAAUGCAAAAUGGAUGGUUCGAAUUCGAAUACUUAGCGGAUUUUUGCAUAAUAUUAAUCGAAUAGAAUUCAUUAAAUUUAGCCAAGAAAUUAAAUUUUCUGAAAUUAAAUACUUUCCCUUCGCCCCAGCGGCGGCCUAACUCCCAGGACGGUGGCGUGCGGGGCCCGAGCAUCCCUGGCCUCUAGUGGCGUGGCGGGGCGGCAUCCAGCAGCAGCGGCGGGGCUCGGCCUCCGGUGGCGCGCGGCCAGCCCGACCUACCCGGUCAGAGGUGGCGCAGCGGUGCGCGGGCCUCCCCGACCAGAGCCGGUGGGGAGCGGUGCGCGGGGAGGACCUCCCCAGCCGGAGGUAGCAGGGCGCGACCUCCCCGGCCGGAGGUGGCUCCCUGUGGGGGCGCGGCCGUGACAGCUAGCGAGGCAAUAAUUGCUUCCGUACGCAGCAAUAAUUGCUUGUGCGACACCGUGUUAUUACUCUGGUACAGUACUCCCUCCGUUGCAGUACACUGGUCCAGGCGUCAGGACACUGCUCCUGCCCUCGUGGUUCACGUGCAUCAGGCCAGCAGACAAGCUAUGAUGUUGCCAACAGUGUUUGUUUGAACAUGGAGAUGUCAUUGUGAUUGUCAGGGACCCGACACCAUGCAUGCCGAUUUCAUAUUCUUAAUAUUUAUUUUUUUAAUGGUUGUUGAAACUAUAUAGUUACUCCAAUAUCACGUUUCCGAUUAUAAAAAUUAACAUAAAGAGAUCGGAAGGGAGAGCCCGCAUAAUGAAGCCGACGCGUAUAAUAAGCACUAGAGCCGGCAUUUAUACAAACGGGUACGCAUAGUAAAAACUAGAAUUUAUAAAUAAAUGAAGAUAUUCAAAUAUCUGGCUUACUUUUUUCAUUAAUUUUGCAUGAAUAAGGGAUGAUUCAUUAAUCAUUAUUGAACAAAUUGGCACACAUGCUUCGUGCCCGCGUUGUGAGCAUUAUGCGAUGCCACUGAGCUGCACCACCACGGUAGAGGGCCUGUUUGCGAUGCCACCGAGCUGCACCACCACGGCAGAGGGUCUGUUUGGGAAGGGGAAGUUAAAGUUUAACACCCCCCAUUUAACACCUUUUUAACAAAAUGGCUGCUAAACACUUGUGUUAAAAGAGUAGUGUUAAAAUUUAACACCUCUCUUUUCAUAAACACAUGGAGGGGGUGUUAAAAUUUGCUAAAUGUGUUAAAAGUGGUCCCCUCCCCACUUAUUCCUUGGUUGCCCCCCUCUCUCUCCUCCUCUCUCUCCUACCCGCCGCAUUUAAGAGCAUUAUUGAGGGGUAAUGCAGUCCUUUUCCAACAAAAGUGUUAAACUUUAACAACCCUUCCCAAACAUGCCACAAGCAACACCACCGGCUGACUGUGCUAGCGGGGAGCACCCUCACCGCCUGCCCGUGGGGACUUCUUCUGCCGGCCAUCGUGUCUUUGUAGGACCGCCGCGUGAGCCUAUGAGCCACCGGUGGCCGUGCGCCCAAGGGCCAUCACCAUGCCACCUGAGGAUGCUGUCUACCCGGUGCCGCGUGCCUCUGCUAGCUGCUUGCACCUGGGCCGCCGCUGGUCGCCUGCACAGCCACGCGUUACAGCCGCCCCCCUGCGCUGGGCCACCCCAUUUCGUGUUGGAAGAACUGCCACAGUCUCGCGCACUGGGGUUUUGCUAGUGACGACCAUAGCCUCCAAGAUCAAAUGAAAAAGUUGGUACUCAAAACAUACAUCCAUUAAUCUAGUCGUGCUAAUCCUUACCACCAAAUAAAAACUAGCAUGUGUUGUGUUUUUGUGACCCUAAACGAUCACAAAUGAAUAACUUAUGGGCGUUGCUAGCCUAUAAGUUAUGGGCGUUUGUGACCCUAGUCGCGCCGGGGUCUUGCUGGUGACAACCAUGGUCUUCGCGAUAAAGUAUUAAGUCUCAUCGAGUUCUACAAUUUUGAUAUAAAAUUUCUAUUCAUCCGAGAUCAAAUGAAAAACAAAUGAAAAAAUCCGAAGUAUUAGGCUUCAUCGAGCUCUACAAUUUUGAUAUAAAAUUUCUAUUCAUCCGAGAUCAAAUGAAAAAAUCCGAGAUCAAAUGAAAAGUUGGAACUCAAAACAUACAUCCAUUAAUCUUGAUAUAAAAUUUCUAUUCAUCCGACAUCAAAUGAAAAAGUUGGUACUCAAAAUAUACAUCCUUUAAUCUAGUCGUGCUAAUCCUUACCACCAAAUAAAAAAACUAGCAUGUGUUGUGUGUUUCUGACCGUAAACGAUCACAAAUGAAUAACUUAUGGGUGUUGCUAGCGUCCCGGACGCUAGCAUCGGACGCAUGAGCAGCCGUCCGAUCGGGUCCGACACCACUUCACGAUCUGUCUUAAAAAAAAGUCCCACCGAAACAUUGUUCCAUGUUGCAUGAAAUACCCCACUAUCCAUCGCCAGGUCUACAGCAAGCACCACCUUCCAAUCUGCUGCUCACCCAAGCUAAAUAGGGGCAUUAAAAUUGCAGAAAUAUGUCACAUAUCCUUGUCAAAUUAAACUAAAUCGCAACAUCCGAAAAUUUCUUACACAAAACCAUGAAACAUAUCGAUUAGAUAGGUGUAACAAGAUGGAAUAUGGUAUCCAACAUAUAGAUUCCGAAAAACAGAUGAAACAUUAUGUAACGAUUGUUGAAACAGUCGAGAAAUAUAGAUGUAACGAUUAAAAUUUAGAAAAGAAGCUUUAUGCAAAUUGCAAAAAGCUGAAAUAAGUGGUUGAAACAUUUCGAAUCACCAAAUGCCACAUUUGAAAUGGCUACAUGAAACAUCACGAAAUCAAUUGCAACAGUUGAAGAUGAAAACAUUCAAAUGCCUUGCCUUUCUCCAGAUUUGACCCUCCAAGCAUGAGUCCAGCCAUUUGCACAUUAGACCCUUGGGAGGAGCUCACCGGAGAACAACAAGACCGUGUUCUCCAACAAUUUUCUGAUCAAAUUGCAACAGACAAAACAAAGCAUUGCAACAUCUGGCAUCACGAGCUACAACAUCAACAAGUUAGGAUCAGGAGAAAGAGGGAAAACACAAGCCUAACAACCCCAAGACAAAACUGAUGUACUCAUCAUACAUCACGGCUUGCCGUGCACAGAGAUGAAGGCCGCCAAGCUCAAUCGAGACAGAGACGACGUGAUAGUGCUCCAGAUCGACGGUCCCCAUCAAUUGUUGCGUACACUGCCAAAAGCAAUGGAAGAAGAAGGGUCGUCCCUGCUCGACCUCCGUAGAUGAGCGCAGAUUGGGGGAAACCGUAUAGAGUGCCGCUGACAGCACAGGCGAGGGGGCUCAGGCUUGAUUCAGGGUGAGGGUAGCGGGUAGCAUGAGGAGACAGUCAGGUUUCAUAGGAGAGAGGCGGAGUAGAGAGCUCUGGUGACUCGGUGAGGAGGGUGCGGCACGGAGAAAGGUGUGUAGCUGAAGGAGCUACAUGGUUGGGGCGAGGCGAGCGUAGAGACUAGAGAGGGAAAAAAAGCAUGGGGAGGAGACGAUAUGUGGUUGAUGGUGCGGGCACGUGGUGAGCGCACCGUAUGAAAAUUUUGCUCGCGUCGGAUGACUGAUGUGAAGCAUUACCCAAUCUUAAUUAUCUCCCAUAAUCCAAAACUCACAAAAACAUCAAAAAUCCGCCGAGAAUAAAUUAAGUAAACCAUGCACACACAGAUAAUAAAAUUGCUAAUAAGGCCAGAGAUAAUACAUGAACAUAUUAGACUGUUCAUGACACAUAUCACGGUGGAUAGUGUCUGUGUCCUUAUUACAAGCAAUGAGAGAUGCUUGUCACCACACACACGCGCACAGAUGCAUGACAUACAUAUAGUUGAGACCAACAGAUGGAUCAACUAGAGGUCACCCCAUAUGGUGAACAAUUUAUUGGAGAUAAACAUUAACAUAACUUGGCCAUAGCUUGAAGCAUAGCAACAUAUGCCUAUGAAUGGCGUUCAUGCUAUCGUUUUAGGCUUGUCCAGCUUCUUUCAUCUUAGCAAGCACUUCCAUUUCUACCAUCUUAGCAGCAACUGUCAAAUUGAGAUAUGGAAAUCCCAUUAGCGCAUGAUUAAUUUUGCAGUGGAAAUAGAGUGCAAGAUAUCUUCAUGAUGUAAAUAACAUGCCUGAAGUUGUGAGAUGGGAAGUGAAGUCAACAAAUUACAUUAACGGAAAUGCAUGGAAGGCCACACAUACGUAUUAGUCCAUAAUACGCUACAAAGCUUGUAUGUACAUAUAGCAAAUUAAAUGCAUUAAUUGAAUAGAGUGAGUUUAGUGAAUUUACCAGAAUCGUCCAGAAAACAUGGGAAACAGCAAGUGUGCUUGCAGACUGUGUCGGAGCCACCCACACGAAUACAAAGCUGACAACAUGCUUGUGCCUCGUGGGAUACGCAGCAGCCGCACUGUGCCGCGGUGGCCGAGUUAACAUUGAGGCUCAAGAUGAACAGGCACAUGAUCACCAUCAAAGUGGUAGUCCUCUUUCCCUCCAUUGCCUCCUGUCGCUGCUACCUUCCUUGGUUACUAGUAAGUUUAUUGGUUUUGUGUUGAGAGGUGAUUCUUGCAUUGAAUGGACGUUGCCGCGGCUGCAAUUUAUAGGCAGCUGCGCUAUGUGAUGAUAUGGACAAGGUGCAAAUGGGUGGUCCUGAUAU
RNAcentral lists this long non-coding RNA (48581 nucleotides) under Setaria viridis. Its description in RNAcentral is "long non-coding RNA (SVIR_LNC010032)". The record is from RNAcentral. Lineage: Eukaryota; Viridiplantae; Streptophyta; Magnoliopsida; Poales; Poaceae.